CAGGAUCUGUUCUAUAGGCUCGUACCAUUGUGUCCUUGAGUUCUAAGGAGACAAGAACCGAAGUCUGGUUGAUGAAUCAUGACCGUGUGAUCAGAGCGUGAUUAAUGGCUAUGAUGAUUUCUCUUGGAGAUGUUAUCUGUGGCAGUGGAGGAUCGUUCUCAACUGGAGUCUUCUCUGGUUGGGUUGGUCACACGGUUGUCUGACAGACUUCAACUUUUUUCAUCUCUUUGUUGCUCUAUGCAUGGAAAUGGAGUUAAUUAUUCUUCUGUAGAUUAAUAGUUUUCACUUUUCAUUACUAAUUUUUCAACUUAUGUGUUUCAAUUUUGAAUUACAACAACCGACAUCAUGAAUCAAACGAUGUUAUUGACUGGGUUUCCUUUCUGUAAUAGGGGUAGCAACCUGAUUCUGAGAAACUCAGUGGUUACUGGUUAGAGAUAGUGGAGGUAAAUAAUAAUGUGGUGUCACAGAAAAAAUGGCCUGGUUAUGACUGAACUUUAUGAGUUCUCUUAAGAGUUUUGGUGAAUUGAGUUUUAGAGGGGAGGAAGGAUAAGAGAAGACUUCAAAGGCAUUAAAUACAUCAUGGGAUUACUAUCGAGCUUUAAUUUUCUCUCCAAAACUUAACUCGUAAACUGGUCUUGGUAUAGCGGAAAAGUUCCUAAAUCCUAUUUCCUUUCCACCAAAUAGAAAACUAUUUGAUCUUGCAAACUAGUAUAUCCUAAAUCCUGCAAUCCUGUCUUGUUAUAGGGCAAAAGUUCUUUUGAUUCUUCAUAUUUUGUACUGAUAUACACUUGUAAUUUCUCCCAACUAGAGAACCAGUAAUGAAAACUCAGUUUGGAAAAUAAGGAAAUACUCCUAAUAUAAUUAUAUUUUUGCGCCUAGAGGAAAAAUAAGCCAAAUAUACAGAUAUAUUUAUAGGUGUCAAUUGCAGCUACAUAAUUUAAGAAGCAUUGGUUCUUUCAUGAAAUACAUGUUAAUCUACAUAGUGAUGUUGGUCAUCAACUACCAAAUGAAAGAGUGACAUAUAAAGGCAAAACUUCAUGACAUUCUGCCACCAAGGUUUUCAAACUUAAAGGUGAAAAUCUGCAAAAUUGCUUCAAGUGCAGAAACAUUCCAGCUCUCAACAUGCCUAACAAUCUGUUAAAUAAAUAGUUGCAAUCACUAGUUAGUAUGGAUCUCAAAUCACACCAAUAAGUGCACAUAUAUGAUGCAGAAUGAAAAGGGUGCAUUUUGAUUCUGACUUUGAAGUCUUCAUCUAAUUCAUAUAAUGUUCUUCCAUCAAUGGAAAUCAGAGGUCUCCAAGGAAGCUUUAAGUUGGUCCUGCAUAUCAACCGAAAAAAUAUCCGCGAAGAAAUUCAGACUUCAUUGGGAAUAAUACUUGGACUUGGAGGCAGACAUGUAACCAAAAAUAUCUACUUAACACUGUUUUCUUAUUAUAAAUACUGCAAUAGUGCAGCAACUCCUAAGGAAUCCUUAGUAAAAAGCUACUUUUCUGUUUUAAAGGGAAAAUAAUGACAAAGAUAUAACUUUUAUAUAUACUCAGAAGCAUUACAUUCACUGCAUUCUUUCAGCAAUAGAACUACACCAUAUUGCAUUUACGAGCAUUUUAUCAUUCUUUGAACAAUGUGACAAACUGGCAACUGCUAUGAGAUGCAUAUAUGGGGAAAAUCCGCAUGUCGAUAUCUUAAAAUACAGCGCAAAAUGAAUUGAAUAGAAAGUGAAGCAUGGAGAACCUUAGUUUCCAUGUAGCCAGCACAAAAUUUGUGUCAGAAUCAACAUCCUGCAUUACAAAUUUAUAUAAUGAGUGAAGCAUGAAGCUUGCAUUUUUUAAGGAAACGGUAUUGUUCAAGAGGCUAAUGCCCUUUCAGUUGUAGCUAGAUCUAGAUACUAAUCAAAAUAAUUUAUAUAGGCAAUGCAUAAGAAGAAUGAUAAAACUAACAACUAUAUGCAUCUUAAAAGUCCAAUGUGGUUAUUGUUUAUAUUCAGAGUUCUGUGAUUAAUCAGCUAUAAUAUCAGGACUUUCAGUUUACAAAGCAAGAUAGGCUAGAAACUACACUAUAAAAUAGAAAGAUGAACCCACAUAAUCAAAUGGGGAUGUAAUGUGUGUGUGUGUAUAUAUAUAUAUAUAUAUACUGUCACAGUCCAAGCCCUGCACCAAAAGGGAAUAAAUUGGGUCAAAGUAUCUAGAUUCUAGACCAUAGGUGUAGCUUCAAAAUUAGAACAUUUGCAAUGAGCAUAAACCUUCACAGGUAAGUGGAACUGAAUCAAAAUUUCAAUAAUAAAGGUUCAUUGUAUUUAAAGUUUUAGACUUUUCAAUGUGAAUCUUCUUUGACUUUCUUUAUGUAAUAUCCAAACAGGUCUAAUGAGUAAAUGGUUUUACUGUUUUAAUGACAAAGUCCAAAAGAGUGCAUCUUCCCUUUUCCACAAAAGAACACCCUUGGACAAGAAUUCCACCAAUAUUGGAUUCACACCAGUUAGUCUCAUGUAAGUACUACUACUACAUACUUUUACAACUAGUAUACAAUACCUACCUUCUCGAUCUUUUGUAGUUUAAUAGACGCGCAAUCGAAGAAGGGAACAAGCAAUUUCAAGUUGCGUGCAUAUAACUCCCGACCUGUAUGGCCAUGAAUCAUAGCUUCAGUUGAUUGACCCCUUUUCGCACUGAUCAGUUAGCUUUUGCAAGCCUUAAAGAUUUGAAACCAGAAGAUAGAGUUUUUGUGUGUGACAGCAAUGUGUAACUUAAACUACUAAUCAAGCUGCUGAUGAAAACAACAGAAGAGAUAGGAAACUAAGCACAAUACAAAUUAGAAAGAGUAGCGUAAUAGUAGUUAUUGGUAAAAACUGUAACUCUUACCACGAAAUUUAAUAGUUGGAUCUUCAAAGAUACAGUCUUCGGUAUAGAUCGAAGAAGUGAAGUUCCCUAAUCGUCAAACAUAAGUGAGAAAUGCAUUCUUUAGUUUUAAUUUUUAACUUUCAACUUAAGCUUUAUAUGUUACAUUGUUGAUAUUCAAUCAUGCAUGCUAAAAUAAGUGAUAGAUAACACAUCAUACCAGAAAUGAAGGAAAGCUGAUAUCAUAAUAAUAGUAAUAAUAGAAACAUGAAAUAAAAAAUAAUGGCUGCAAAACUUUCAAAAGGAUAGUGAAUCAGGUAGUAAGAGUGGUACUAUCAUAAAAAGUAAAAAUAUCGGAUUUUCUUGAUAAUAAUAAGAAGUACUAUCAUAAAAGUAGUCACAUGUGCAGUGAUGUACAAUUGAAUUACAAGGGGAAACAAAUCUACACAGAACAUCAAAUUAAACUAGAAAAGGGAUGAAAGGGGGUACCUGUAACAAAAUAAGCCUUGCCAUAAUCAGACUCAAUGAUCACUACAACAUCAUCAACACUUGAAACUGAGAAUUCAUCUUUUUGUUUCUCAAUAUCUCGACUCAAAUCGCUGCGCAUUAAUAAGUAGGAUUAAAUAUUAAACACAUAAAGAAUAUUGUGGAUUUCAUUGGCAUAGAUAGACAAUAGUCCACCUUGUUUGAAGGGAAGGAGAGAAAAGCCUCAAGAGUUCUGUCACUCCACUAACUACUACUUUCAAUAUCUGAGGAGUUUUUGUUGUUUCUCUUUUAAAGCUUGCAUUAAUCAUCUUUCUGCUAUUGAGAAUGUGAGUGUUACUGUUUGAGCACAAGUGAUAACUACAUAACUGCAACUGCAAAGUAAUAAUCUUAAUCUGAGAGGCUAUGUAUAUUAUUGUUACUAUCAUCAAGGGAACUUUGAAAAUAUAAAUUCAGCUAUGUAUAUUAGUGUACCUGUAAGUUUAAGGACAGUGGAGGAGGUGUUCCACUUAACCAGCACCAUGUUCUUGUUGCCAUUUUGGUGUCAUAAGAUUUUGGUUCAGAAUUGUUUUGUGGUGUAUGAGAGAGCACCUUUAUAGGCCCAUUAGGACAACAAAGGCAAUGUAAUCCAUUCGACCAUUCCAUUUGGUCAAAAACUAAACUUUGGUUAGGACUUUAGAGCCUCAUAAAAAAGAAUGUCACUUUCAUAAGCUGAAUUGUUUCUAAAGUGAGUAAUUAAGAAUGCUACUUUGGAGCACCAAGCGUUGUGUUGUAAAUGAUUCAAACAUUUUCGGCUUGGAUUAACACACUGAUUUACAUCAAUUAAUUAUAUAUUAAAUUUAAAUUUGUUGUCCAUCUCAUUUAGAUAUCAUUAUAAUUGGUGUAGACUAUUUUGACGAUCUUAUACAACAAUGAAACAUUCAUGAUUUACUUUUCUAAGGUUGAUGAUUUGCACCAUUUCAAACACACAAAUAAUGACAACUAAUCAUGUUUACUUGAAGGAUCACACACCAACUAAAUUAUUUCAUAUGUCUCUUGUCCAGUGAUAGGUCCUUGGAGAUUUUAAUUCAAAAUUGCAGCCCUAAAGAAAAAAUAGUAAUAAAAGUUUUGGGCUAAGAAUAUCACACGCUGGAUAGGAAUCACAAUUUAUAGGAUACCAGAUUUCAAAACUAUAAACUGCAAUGCUUGCUCCGAGACUAAAAGUUCUGUACUUUUUUAUCAUUUUUGGAUUGAAUAUACAUUAUAAAAUGUUACAUGUAUACGGAACAAACUACAAGCUAAUGUAGCUACUUAAUCUUCAAAAUUAUAUCAUACUAGACUUAAUUCAUCAUUAGUAUUUGAAAAUUUAAGGUUAUCUUUAAACUCAGCAUCAAGCUCCUUCCGCAAUGCCACGAGCUCUUCCCCCACAUCACAUAUAUAGGCCGAUGCUUGCCUGCCGGACAAGGUUGCACCUUCCAUGCUGUCUAUGUAGUCCUGAACAAAUUAAUUUCAUAAAAGACAGCAAUAUCAGUGAAACUUAGAUAUCACAACUGCUAUGAAACUAGAAAAAUCAUACUCCAUUUGCGAGACUGCACGGCAAAAAAGAUUUAACAGCUCAUUAAAAUAGUGGCAUCGGCUGAAAAUGUUAAAACUGUUUGGUAAAUUUGAGUAAUCUGAAUCCCAUACAGUAAGGAAGUGAAUGACUAGGCUAGUUUGAUUAAGAUGUGGACAAGCCUAGUAACAAUUUACAUAACAAUCCAAUGUAUAUUUUCAAUCUAGUAAAAAACGGGUGCAUGUCAUAUACAUCAUUUUCCAUCUAACAUUUUAGACCCAUUAGGAAAUUUUGCACUCCUGAAUCCUGAUACUAAAAUAAAUGACAAUAAAAAGGUGGUAUUUCACUGUAGAUUUUGGAACAACUCAACAAUGGAUCCCAUUGAAUCAAGUAUAGCAGAAAGUGGGGGGUUUAUUGUUUGAGUCAAAGGAGAAACUUCACUUUCUAAACUCUAUUUCAUUGGUCAUACUUGAAGCCCAGGAGGCAAGAACCUAUAUAGAGGUCUGAAGAUUAAACUGACUACACCAUAGGGUCUCGUGCAUUUCCGCUAAAAUAAUUCUUGAGUCCAUGAAUUUUUUAGGGUUACAUCUUAUAUGCAUAAGACAAGCACAAGUAUAAUGUUAGUUAAGAAGGUGUGAGGUAUUUGAACUUACUUGCUUUGUGUAAGAGCCAGAAAGAAAGAAAUUUUUCACUGGUGUCUUUUGAUCAGGCCUAAAUGGAUCUUUACCAGGUCCCUCGCGGUACAAAGAUUGUCCAAUUUUAACAACAGAUGACCAAGUCACUUCCAAACCUUGAGCUGAUGGGAAUAGUGAUAAAACCUGAUAAAAAAUUUAAAUCAAUGUAAUGAGAAGAUAUAUCAUUGAAUAAGGACACUGAAAAUAGACUGGAAACAGGAAUUUCUGGUGUAAUUUAUGACAGAAAAUAGUAAAAAGAGUAAAUGCUACACUCAGAACAAUCCCAAUGACCAUUAAAUACGCAUCAAAUGAACAAGUACCAAUUCAAUUACUAACUGCAUUGUGAGACAGGCUGAUCCCAUAUAUUUCAGUGAAAAUGUUUACCACCCACUCAUCAUUGAUAUAUCAUAUAAUAUUGCAUGCUGAUAUAGUAAAACUACUCAACACGCACUAACUACCAAAAGCGUGUGAAUUAGCUCCUUGUUUAGACACACUUCCUAUGUCAUCGCUAAGUCAACUAUGAAAGAAUAUAUAACAAACAGAAUGAGAAAAGCUACUAUUUUUAACCCACCUGUUUUGCUACCCUUGCAACAAUUUCAUCAUUUGGUAAGGGCAUGUAUGGAUCACCUGGUGUCAGAACACAUCUGAAAGAUGAAAUAAUAUUAUGCACUUUGAAGGUCAAGAUAAAAUCAAAUAUACUAUGAAUGUUGCUGACAAAAGUUUAAUGCCAUGAGAAGGAUGAACCAGUAAACCUGAUGCAUUUAGCAAUAUCAGAUACAAGUUGCAUGAUAGAUUGAUUAUGCAGAUUCAUCCCUUGCAUAACAUACUUAGGCACACUAGAUUUUAUGUAAAAACAAAUCAUGAAUGAAAGGGAAAAUUUGUGUUUAUAUGCACGCAUGCACUUACUGGAGCAAUGAUCCUUGUCCCUCAAUGUAAUAAUCUUCAGGAGAUGUGAGUGCAAGGUCUGCAAAGCAAGAAAAAUCUGCAUCAGGGGUAUAGAGAAGGUUGUCUAACCCAAUAGCUUUCCCCAGUUGCCUGCCAUCCAGAAAGUUUUCAUAACGAAGUUCAGCAAUAACGAUUGAAGAUAGUAUAUAAUUCCACAUUCUUAAAACAAAAGUAUUUAACACUAUGGUUUCUAUAUGACCCUAAAAUUUAGAUAAUUACCUUGACACUUCUAGAUCCUGCAACUCUGUAACCCAACCAUUGUAUCUGAGUUGCACUGUAACAACAGGAACUCCAACUAGUUCAUAUAUGUUAUCGAAAAACUGAUGUUUCCUCCACUCUGAUGGAAGUAAUCUUUUGAUUCCAGGGACAUCACAGGCUGAAAUCAAGUGAAAGACAGUUUAAGGCAUGAGAAAUUUUUCCAAAACAUGGGAAUCACAAUACAAACAAACGGUGAGGAAACCACUAACCAGCAACAUAAGCAUCAGCUUUCACAACUUUCUUAUCAGUAGCCUGAGAAAAUAAAAAUUAAUAUGUUGUUAACUACAAACUCACCUAAAUUAUAACCAAGCAUGUAAAGAUUUCAGAAAAUAACACAUAAAGCAUAUCACCUUUGACAUGGAAAGUCCUGUAACAUAAGUACUCCCAUCAGCAGAGUUACCAUAAAGUAUUUCUCUGCAUCCCCACCUAAGAUGGAACCUGUUCCAGCCAUGAAUGGGAAUCUAAGUAGGGAGGAAUUUGGAUAAUCAUCGUGGCAAUAUCUUCAUGUCUAAAAUUAUACCUGCCCCCUCUAUCCGUGAUGUACUUCCGGAUAGGGCCACUCAAAUAAACAUCUGGUGAACCCUUCAGCAUUCUCAAAAGAGAAGCCUCAGUCUUUGUGGCAAACAAUGCAAAUAUAGUGAGCAUGCAACGGGCGCUGAUAUUAUCACAAUCAAUAAACCCAAGGGCAUAGGCAACUGGAUCCCACAUUCUUUGAAUACUCGCACGUGUACCACCUUUGGAUAAAAACCAGUCUGAAAAGCUAACCUGUAAGGAAUAUGUGAAAUGGUCAGAAGAACAGAAGACUGAAAAAUACAGUUGGUGCAAAGUGAAGUGUUGAAGAUCCUUGCUAUUUACUCGUUGUGUGUAUAUGUAUGUUUGUGCAAGUGCAUGUGUGUAUGGGCAUGCACAUAUGUGUAGUGGGAACAGGGAAAGAAACCUAAAUAUAAAGCUGGAAACACAUAAUCAGGAGCAUCAUUUUGGAAAGUUACCAAAAAUAACAAGAAAUAGUUUAUCCUCUUACACUAUCUAAAUUCCUUAUGUCCUGUAAUGCACCAUCUGGAUCAACAAGAGCUCUGACGACAGGACUCAGUGCAAGAGCCACAGCAUUUCUAGCCUUAUCAUAAGUCUGUUCAUAAACAAUAAGUUAAGUGCAAUGAGUUCCAGUGAGGAAAAUGAGCAAAUAUAUAUUUCUGGGUAUACGAAUAUAUUAUAUUUUGAUAUACAAAAAAGUGUAUAAUUCGUCAAUUUAUAAAUAAACAGGGUUUCUGCAUAAUACCAAUGACCAAGCCUGGCAAUCUAAAUGCACGUGAUAAUAGAAUUUACAAUGGCAUUACCUUAAGCUGAUUUGUGGUCAAGAAUGCCCUUAUCCCAUGUAAUGGUGCCCCAACCAGGAAGCGAAAAUCGAGUUCUGCACUGGAAAACUAAGUUAUGAACAAUGCAUUAUAAAAUCAUUAUCUUUCUUUUUAUUUAAAACGUGUGGCAUUCUUAGUGAGAAAAACAAGAAGAAAAUAAUGAACAAAUACAAAGCAAGUUUUUGCUUCCAAAAACAUACCUCCAAUUUGACCCCCUUUGUUUACAAAAGUGUGAGUGUGAUCCUUCACAAGUAGAUUGUUAUUGGCACUCACCUAGUCCAAGUACAGAUGAAGAAAAAGCAAUAAGAUGGACAAGUACAAUGAAAACGUUCAUAUCAAGUCAAUAAAUAGAAGUCUCGUGGUCAAAAUAAUGGUGGAAGAAAACAGAUUUUAGAGUGACGAAGAAAUGCAUUAUGACUGCAAGCAAAAACUGCUUACCUUUUUCAUCAAUCGGAAAAGAUUGUUGUAGCAACCAAAGAAAACAUGCAGUCCCAUUUCAAUGUGAUUUCCUUGUUUAUCAACAAAAGAACCAACUUUCCCACCAAUGAAAGACCUUGACUCAUAUAUAUCAACCUGAAUUACAGAAUUUUGAGAAAAAUAUAAUGAAUUAAACAAAUUAGCUAGAAAACAUCAUAAGGCAUUAAUUCAGAUAGAGAAGGACUAAACCUCAUGCCCUUGAUCCAAGAGUUCCACCGCAGUUGACAUGCCCGCAAGCCCAGCUCCUAUAAUUGCAACCUUCAGCUUAGGCCCUCGAUAAUGUUCAGGUUCUGGAGGAAACAGCCCUUUCGGUGCUGGCAAGACAAGGGAAAAGUUUCUGUUGUCAAACUUGUAAUUUAAGAUUUAAGAAUGUGUAAACAAGUUGCAUAAGCUCACCAUAAUAUAGAACCUGAAUAACAUCCUGCACAAACAAGUUCUCACCCGCAGAGACCCACAUAAAUUACACACAACAAAAGGUUUCACGCCCUUGACCCAAUUAUUCGUGUGUACUAACACUACAGUCAUAAAACACAUAAUAUAGAAUAACAAAUUAAACUGAAGAAAAAACUGAAUUUUGGCCACCGAAAACAUCUAUCUAUGGAAAUAACUGAAAUUCUGCUUUUGAGAGAAACUGGAUUUUGCAGCUUUAAUGAGAACCUGAUUUACAAAAAUGUUUCUGCCAAGACCGUUUUUGGAUAAUCAAGUUUAUUUAAAAGUAUAAACAAAGGCCCUUAAAAAGUUAUCCAUCCAACACUCCCCAAAUUUUUAUUUUACAAAAAAUAAAAUAAAAGAUAGUUGAAAGGGGAGUGGAUCAUCCAAAAUUGAUAGAUAAUGAAUUAGAAUUCAGCAUGAUUUUGAAAAAAUUUCGCCACUUCAAUUUUGCAGCUUCCAGGAAAAGCUGAAUUCUCAAAAUUGUUCCUUACCAAAAUUGCUUAUGGAUAAUCACUUUUUAAAAUUGCAAACAAAAAUGCACUAAGAUUUUUCCUAUCCAUCCCAAUCCAACAUUUCCCAAAAUAAAAAGGAGAUAUAGUUGAAAGUUAAACAUGGCAUUCAAUUUAGCAAAAUUUAACAACUUUCAUCAUGUAUACAGAACAAGUCACAAACAGUAAAAAGGUUACAGCAAACAAUGAAAUAAAAAGUAAUACUAACCAUUAAUACUCAUGUCAGAAACAUUAGAGUCCAAAGAACAACGAAUCCGGUAGUUAAAGGUCUUAGUGAAACGGUUACUUCUGGUUGGGACAAAGAAUCCAACAGAAUCUCUUCCUCGAGUUACGGACAGAGAAGUUGCCGGACAAUGAAUCGGAGAAGCCAUCAUAGUCAGAGAGAAAAGAAAGAAAGAAAGAAAACAGGAACCGACUAUGUUGUUGGAAAUUUAAGGUUGUGGCCUUGUGGGUAUGUGUUAGUAUAUGAUUAUAUGUAGUAAGAAAAAGCAUCAAUGGUUAAAUGAAUAGCUACCAUUGGAGUGAAGGGUGUUGGCAUUGUUGUUUGGUUCAGGGGAUUACUACUUUUGAUUUGUGAAUGUGAUCGCUCCUUUUUUUAUUUUCUUACCAUAGUUAUCCAAAAACAUCAAAUUAUUAUAUUUGUUUAUUUUUUAUUUUUAAGUUUUUCUAUAAACUACACAGAAAAAUUGAUGUAUGUAUGUAAUGUAAACCCAUGGUGAAUGUGUACUUUGUGUAGUGACUCUAUGUAAGUUAUAUGAACAAAGUGGUUCAUUACGUAUUUAUGUGUGCAUUUAAGUAUAACGAUGUUAUAUCGUUAUUAGUAAGAGAUGAUAGUAUUAUAUCAUUUUGCAAAAGAAGGAUAAAAACGGAGACAAAGAAAAUUGUCAUAGUUUUUCAUCUUGGUCAUAUAUUCCAUCAAAUUGUCUUCUUAAUAUAAGAUAAUUUCGAGUCUUCGACUAUUCGGUGUUAAAGCUACACAUAUUUGAUAUGUUUCAUAGAUCAAGUUGCAAAUUUGUAUUCUUUAUUUACGUUUUAAACUUUUUCAUUAUGUAGUAUAAUAUUUUCAAUUUAAAUAAUGUAGUUGUUAAUAUAUAUAUAUAUAUAUAUAUAUAUAUAUAUAUAUUUAUUUAGGGAGAGAAUCCACUUACUUUAGGAGUAGAGUUUUUUAAAGUUAUUCUACAUCCUAGCCAUCAAUUCUAGGGAAAUUCAAUGGUUUGUGAUUUGAAUUUUUGAGUAUAUCUAAAUCGUUAGGUUUUCCUAAAAUUAAUGAUUAGGAUAAAAAAUUAAGUUUAAAAAACUUACAAGUGUUGAUUUAUGAGUAUAUUAUGCAAUAUUGAUUAUAAAUUUGAGCCAUUACAUAUUAAAAUUUGUGUGGGUUAUGCAUAGCUGUAAAUAUAAUUGUCUUUAGUUUAACUAAUAUAUGAUAUUUUGGUAAUUUGAAAGUGUUUUUGAGUCACUCAAAAAGUUAUUAGAAGGAUUCUGUAAACAAAAAUUGAAGGUAGUUUGUAGUUUCUAAAAAAACGAGUUUGUAGCAUUUGAAAGCAAUUUUUCAGAAAGCUACUUUAAGUAGUGUUUAGAAAGUAACUUUCAAUAAUUUGCUUUCCAAUUUUCUUUUUCAAUAUUUUAACAAAUUAUAUUACAUGCCCUCAAUUAAAAAAUCUUAUUAACUUUAUUUGUCACUAAUACCUUUUCCUCCAACUAUAUUUCCUUCAUAGAGAAAAACACCUUCAUUCGUGUGACUUCCCAUUAAUUAUCACUUCAGAUAUGUUAGAAAACUAUAGAAUUUUAUAGGGAUAAAGGAUCCUAUUGAUUCUACAUUUUUUAUUUUAUUUUCUAACAUGAUUACAAGUGACAUUGUUAGAGCCCUCCUAUUUGAUUAUAUACAGUAUAAUAUAUGGAAAAUUAUUAGUCAAAUGUCACAAUAUAGUGUGAAGACCCAAAUCGAUAUUAUUAUGGCUGCAUUUACAUUGCAUAGUUAUAUUCACAUGAACUCAACUAAUUAUCUUGUCUUUAAUAAGUUAGAGCAACAUUAAGAUUAUAUGAUGAACAUGGAAAUAGUAAUAUCAAUUGUGAAACUUCGAAUGAGACAAAUUCUAGAAAGAUGGGAGAAUGUAACAAGAUUUCGCACUUAUUAUGAGAGUCAAUGAUAUAAAUUAUUUUCUUUCAGAAUCUUUUCUGAUGAAAUUAUUUUCAGCUGAAAUUUCUUGUGAUGUAUACAUUAUUCUUACAUUUAAUUGUUAGAUGAAAAUAUGAAAUAUUUUCAUAUUAUAUCUUUUAAUGAUACAUAGUGUCUAUUGUGAUACAAUAUUAUAAACUUAUAUAUCUUAAUUGCAUUUUUGAAAAUAAAUAUUCAAAACAAAAAAUAUAUAUUAAAAUAAAACAAACAAAUAAAUAAAAUAUUACUUAUCCAAUUAUAACCAAAAUAUAAAAAAUAAAUGACUAUUCUAAAUUAUCUACAUAUUUAAUUACUUCAAUUAAUAAAUAACAAAAUAAAUAAUCAAUAAAUAAUGUGUUUCCUUUUUUAAAAUUUCACUUAGAUAUAAAAUUUAUUUUAUCAAACAACUAUAAUUUAAUAAGCUACCUUUAUUGUUACGAGCUUCCGGCUAUCUUCACAACUAUGAUCUUCUAACUACUUUCAUAGUUACAAACUCACAGUACAAGUUCACAACUAAAAACUAGUUUUUAUAAACAAAGUCUAAACAGUAUAAAUCAUUGAGUGAACCAUUAAACAAGUAUCUCAAUAUUCUAAAUAUAUAUUAAUUAAAACAAAAUUUAUUUUAACCAUUCACACACUUGAAUGAUUAGUCUUAUGUGGUUAGAAACAAUCUUAAAACUGUGAUUAAAUAUUGGAACGAAGUUUAGGUAUUAAUCUUUAAGGAAGAUGAUGGACUAACAAAAUAUCACUAGUGGUUGUUGUAAUGGACUCUCUCUAGAUAAUUGUAAGAAUGAGAUUGCAAGAGAGGGGUGAAUUAGUUGACUUGGAAAUUAUGACCAUUUUUUCUGCAUUAUCAAGAGUUAAGAGCAGCGAAAAUAAUUUUCAAAAAAUAACAAGUAAAUAAUUGAAAAGAUAAAGGGAGAAGAGAGUACACCAGAAUUUUAUACUAGUUCACAUUCGCAUACAAGGCCGAAGCUUGCAAUGCUCCCCUGAUACGGUAUGUUACAUCAUAAUGAACUCAUGGUUUUCAAAUCCAAAGUAAUGUCUUUUCCUUUUACAUAGGAAGUAAGACGGUUUUUCCUAAAGUUCAUGUUACAAUAAAAUACUCUAAUCAGUUUAGGUAGCUUUCAUUCGAUUCACAACAGAAAUCGAAAAGGUUUUGUUGUCUAAAGAGAUAAGGAAAUAGAAAAUCUUCAAACUCAAAAUUCUCGAGAUUACCGUAUUUAUGAGUGAAGAUAAUGCGACCAUGGAAGUGUUCCUCAAAGAUUUUACAUUACUCAUUAUUUUCUAGAAGUCGUGUUAACCAUUCACACACUUGAAAUGAUUAGUCUUAUGUGGUUAGAAACAACCUUAAAAACUAUGAUUAAAUACUAGAACGAAGUUUAGGUAUUAAUCUUUAAGGAAGAUGAUGGACUAACAAAAUAUUACUAGUGGUUGUUGUAUUGGACUCUCUCUAGAUAACUAGAUUGUGGGGUUGCAUUGUUGAGAUGCUUGCCAAAACCAAAGUCUUGCCCUUUUUCUUCCUAGUUUCUUGUUGGAGUUAAUGUUACGUGUCAGCUUUUAAAUUAAAAAAAUGUUGCAUCGAAAGUGUGUAACUUUUAUAUAUUAUUACUCCAGCUUCUAUCAUAUAUGUUUUAUUAUUAUUAAUUUUUUUAAAAAUAAUACAAAUAAAUAGUGAAUUAAUUAAAGAGGGGGAUCGGUUUACACCCCAUUUGAGUUACACCAAUUACACUAAAUUUUAUCCCUCUAUUUUUUUAAAUCCAGCAGUCUAUAUUAUAACUUAAAAACCACCAAUACCUCUCUCAUCACCCUUUCAUUUACCUACUUUUAUUUUUUAUCUCCUAAUCUUAUUUGCUCUACCUCUCUCACCACCGUGAAAAAUAAAUCCAACCUAUCAUUCCCAAACUUUCUAUUCCUCCAUUGUCAAACCUUGUUGCAGCUCAUAUGCUAAACCCUUACGCCCAUAUGCACAAAAGGAACCACACAGCUAAUAACCCCAAUUGACCCAACCCUACCAUUGGUGGUUAUUCAAUUAGUUUUUUUUUUUGGAAUAAGGGUAUUGUUAUUUUGUUGUUAAGGUUGAUGUGCUUCAUAUUUUCUUUUUCAUUUUUCAUCACAAGUAGCUGGAAUUAUUAUGCAAGAAAUAAUGUUGGGUCUCUGUAUUUUAAGAAGUAGAAGCUAUAUGAAGCACAAUACAGGGAUAAUAUAUGCUUAUUAUGCAUUCACUUGCAAAGCCAUAGAAGAAUAAUGUUGGGUUUCUGCAUUAUGCAUUAUGAACAAAGUAGUUGGAAUUAUAUGCUUAUUAUGCACUCUUUUUGCAUUAUUCUUGUUGGCAGAGAUACAUCUCAAGAGGAUUCACUUGCAAUAGUUCAUUGAGGGCAAAAUCUUUUUCACACUUGAAUACCACACAUUUUGUGGAAGGGAUAUGUGUACUGAUAAAUUCCUAGUAUAUGUGGUAGUUGUUUAGGAAAAUGUUGCUCAUCAUCAAAUGAAAGUUUAGAAUACUUAUUUUAAGAUAAAUUUUACUCUAUAAAGUGUAUUAUGAGCCUUGUUAUACCUCCUACAAUCCUUAUAAAUAUAAAACAACAAAUGUUUUCCCAUACUUUUGUGUUGAGUUGAUGUACGAUAUCAAGGCUAACUAGUUGGUGUUCAUUUUAAAGGGCAUGAUCAAUACUCAUUCUUAUGUGGAACUCACAAGCUAGAAAGAUAUAGUGUUAUUAAACAUGAACAACUAUUUUGAUGAUAGAAGCUAAAUAAUUUACAACACUUCUACUAAUUAACCAAAAACCAAUUACAUAGAGUCGCAACUCACAUACACUAUUACUUGUACAUUUUGUCCAUUGCCUGUGUAUUUUUCCAAAACUGUUUGUAUGCUUAUUGUUUCCAAAACCAGUUACAUAGAAUCACAACACUAUUACUAGGCAAUUAUUAGAAAAAUGAGAAGUUCAUCUGCAUACAUGGUUUUUGUUAAUGAAGUAAUGUUGCUAGCAUAGCCAAAGUGAAAAGAAGUGUCCUACACCUAAAUGUAAACAAGUGCCCUGCAACUAAAUUUAAACAAGUGCACUGCACCUAAAUGUAAACAAGUGCACUGUAACUAAAUGUAUGUCUUGAUUAGUAUCAAAGUAAUUGGAUUAUUACAAUGCUAAAAACAUAUGAAAGUGAUAAUUUAAUAAAAAUGUAUUAUAAUUUCAACAAUAAUCAAAUCAAAAUACAUAUUGUACUUGUUCCUUGGAGUUUUACUAUAAAUUUCAAUCUAACAAACCACUUAAUCUAUUGACCACCUAUCAAUCUAACAAAACAUUUGCUCCCAUUUGUGAGCAACUUUAGAGCUUCCAGAUGCAAAAAUUAGUUUCAACUUAAUCAUCUGAGGAGCUCUAGCUCCGUUCUACACCUGUUACUAUCACCAAUAAUAAAAAUAAAUAUCUUUUGAUAAAACAAUGAACUCAUAUAAAAAUAUAUAUAAUAUAACAUAAGCAAAAAAAAUGUUACAUUAAAUAUAUAUAUAACAUAACUAUCACCAUAUCAUCUUUAUUUUUUUCAUUCUUCACCUUAUGUUCACCUUCUCGAACACACAUAAAAAUACAAUAAUUAUCUUUUCUAGAACGAGUAUGAAUCCCAAACCCCUUUGUUUUAGCAAAUAUGAUAUAAAAUUCUUCAACUUGUUGUAGAGAAUCAAAUCUCAUUCCAAUAUGAGGGUUAACAUUGAAUUCCCCAAUAGUAGGAGAUUGUAUCAUAUUAGAUAAGUCAGAAUGAGUUACCUGACUAUUAUCUGAAAUGAGGUCACUCUCCAUAUUCAUUUUUCAUGAUGAUGACAAUGGCAUGAGUGAGUCUUCUCCAAUUUAGAAUGAAGAACAUUGGAUUUGGGAAUACUAUUCAACCUGCACUACUAAUGGAGGGAUGAGUUGGAUUUGGAAUGAUAGGUUGUUUUAGGUUUGACUAUGGAGGAAUAGAAAUUUGUUGGGAAUGAUAGGUUGGAUUUAGCAAUUUGGGAAUUUGUGCUUCAUAUGGCUUCCAUCACUUCUUAAAAUGCAUAGACCCAACAUUAUUUCUUGCAUAAUAAUUUCAGCUACUUGUGAUGAAAAAUGAAAAAGAAAAUAUGAAACACGUCAACCUUAACAUCAAAAUAGCAAUACCCUUAUUCCAAAAAAAAACUAAUUGAAUAACCACCAAUGGUAUGGUCAGGUAAAUUGGGGUUAUUAGCUUUGUGGUCCUCUUUGUGCAUAUGGGUGUGAGGGUUUAGCAUAUGAGCUGCAACAAGGUUUGACAAUGGAGGAAUAGAAAGUUUGGGAAUGAUAUGUUGAAUUUAUUUUUCAUGGUGGUGAGAGUGGUAGAUCAAAUAGGAUUAGGAGAUAAAAAAUAAAAGUGGGUAAAUGAAAUGGUAAUGAGAGAGGUAUUGAUGAUUUUUAAGUUAUAAUAUAGACCGUUGGAUUUAAAAAAAUAGAGGGAUAAGAUUUAGUGUAACUGGUAUAACUCAAAUGGGGUGUAAACUGAUCCCCUCUUAAUUAUAUAUAUAUAAAUCUUUAUAAUUGGAUACUUAUUACAAUCUUUUAACAUAUAUGACGCUAGCAAGUGUUUAGAGCGAGAGAACCAUAAAGAUAAGGUGUGAUAUGUAUGGUGCUAGCAAGUCACAAGUGUUUAGACUUUUAGACAAUAAACUAUUUAAAGUCUUCACAAAAGGUCAUACUCUUUAAUUUAAUCUAUUCAUUGGCGGUAGUUAAUUAAAAUUUGAGGGAGAAAACUAUGAAUUACAGUGUAAAAAAAAUUAUAUUAUUUGUAUUUUAUUAUUAAUAAAAGUAAUAUACAAAGGAUAUAUGAUUUAUUAAUAAUGUAAAAAACUCUACAUUUAUAAUACAUAUAAAUUCAUUUCUUUAAAAUAUUUAUUGAAAUAAUAAAUAAAUGUAAAUAAGUAUAUGAUAUAAUAAAUAAUUAAAAUGAUUUAUAUCAAGUAUAAUAAAAUAGUAUAUAUCAUCAUCUCACAAUUUUGUUGGAAACAUUUGUACUCAAUGAAAAUAAUUGGAUAGAUGAUUUUAUAUAAAAGAAACUAACAUGUAUUUGUUUCCAUUUUAAGAAAAAAGAGUUAUUCUUCAUAUUUUUAUUAGGGAGAUGAUCUACUUACUCUAAUAGUAAGUUUUUAAAACUUACUUCCUAUCAUAACCAUCAAUUUUAGAUAAAUUUAAUGGUUUAAGUUAGUGAGUAGAACUAAAUCAUUAGAUUUCCUUAUAAUUGAUGAUUAUGAUAUGGAGUAAGUUUAAAAAUUUUACUUUAAGUGAAUCCCACUAUUUCUUUACUAUAAUAAAUACAUAAAUAUAGUUAGUGUUGGAUAAAUGAUAUCUACUAAGGACAUUAGGUAUUAUCAAGAUAGAUAUCUCUUUUUGUUGAGACUUCUAUUUAAUAUAGGCAAAAUUGUCAUUACAUUUUGUUGUUAAAAAAUAAUUCAACCAAAAAUUAUGUAUAGUAUAUUAAUGAAAAAUAUAGCACUUUACUUAUGUCUUUAGUUAGGUUAGGGAUAAUUUAGUCAUUGCAUAUAAAUUUGAGUAUACUUUUCUACAUUUUAUAUAUUUUUGAAAUAAUUCUCACCUCAUCUAUAUCCUAAAAGGCUGGAACUUUUUUUUCUCAAUCUAAGUGAUCAUUCACAAUCUUCAUCUCAGAUUUAUUCUCAAACUCAUAAAAAUUGUAAGAGCUAAGCCAAUAAUAACCUUUCCUGUUUUUUUGUGUCUAAAUUUUUAAUAAGAUUUCAAAAAAUCAAUUUUCAUAUUUGGUUUCUUAUAUUGCAAUUUUAUAACGUGUUAUAUUGUAAACUCUAUCUGAAAAGAAAAAAUGGUAAGUAUUGAGUAAGUAAUCAUUUUUCUACUUUUUGGUGUCUAAUGUUUGAUAAGGAUUUCAAAAGGUUUCAACUUUUAUCUUUGAUUUCUUAUAUUGCAAUUUUAAGCUAUAUUAUUCCUCUAAUUAUAUUCCAUUCUGUUUCUUCAGUGUUCUUCUCUACAAAGUUGCAUCUGGUAUUGUAAACUCCAUCUGGGAGAAAUGGUAAGUGCUAAACAAAUAAGCAUUUCUACUGCUUUUUUAUAUCUAAUUUUUAAUAGAAUUUUAAAAAGUUUUGAUUUUUAUAUUUGAUUUCUUAUAUUGCAAUUUUUGUAGUUAUAUUAUUUUCUCUAAUUCUACUUCAUUUUGUUUCUUUAGUGUUAUUCCUUAUGCAACAACUUUUGAUAUUUUAAACUCUCUGGAAAGGAAAAAAUCGCAAGCACUAAACAAAUAAUCAAUUUUUUCUAUUUUUUGUGUUUAAUUUUUAAUAAGAUUAGAAAAGGUUUUAAUUUUUAUCUUCGAUUUCUUAUAUUGCAAUUUUUAAGCUCUAUUGUUUUCCUAAGUAUGUUUCAUUUUGUUUUCUAUAUGUCCUUGACGUUUAAGACUCACCUAAAGUUAAUUUGACACAUAAAUUUAUACAAAUUUGAAUUUUCCAAAUUAAAUUCAAUGUGUAAUUUUGUUCAAAAAAAAUUGGGCACGAAACUCCCAAGAGGCUAUACAUGAAAAGAAAACGAGAAUAAAUGGAGAUAGGAAUAUAUUUACUAAGAAUUGAAACAAGAUACUCACAUUAUUUUUAUUAAGAAUGUAAUAUUUAUGUAUUGACAAUAUAAAUAUUUAUACAUAUUUGAUGUAUUAUUCAUUAUUCAUUUAUUUUAUUUUUAUUUAAGAAUUAAUAAUAAUUGAAAAUAAAUGUUGGAUAAUAUAGUGACAAUAUAAAAUUUUCUGUCUUGCUAACUGAUUUGUCUAGUUGAUAUUUUUGUCUCUUUAUUAUUACAGAUUGUCACCAUAGGAUAGUUGAUAUUUUGUCUCUUUAUUAUCACAUGUAAUUCCAUUUCAAGUACCAUGUCUCAACUAAACUGUACUUAUUAUUAUAAUAACACAAUACUUCUCAUUAACAAACACAAAUGAGUUAAUUUAUUUGAGCCUCGCAGAUCGUAGUACGGAUCGGCUGUUUUCAAUAAGUUUUGGUCCAUUAACAUCUUAAUUUGAGUGUAAUUUAUAUUUGUGUAAGAAUUUAUAUAUAUUUACUAUAUUAUUCGUCAUUUAUUUAUAUUAUAUUUUUUAAUAGUAAACUUAGUGUAUACAUUAUUUUUUCUUUUUACGUUUUUGAAUAGUAAACUUAGUGUAUACAUUAUUUUUUAUUUUUACGUUUUUGACGAGUAAACAAUAGUUAAAUAUGAAUAGUAAAUAAUGUAAUAAUAGUGAAUAAAAUUCAUAUACUAUCAGUGUAUAUAUCAUUUUCUCUUUUAGUUUCCCAUUUUUAUUUAAUGUCAUAAUAAAUAUGAAAAAGCGAAAAGAUGCAUAAUACACUAUAGUGUAUAAGUUUAAACUGUUUGAUACACUGUUACUAUAUUAUCUAUCCUUCAUUUUUAAUUAUUAUUGAGUUUUUUAAAAAAGUGUAUAUGAUACACUAAUUAUGUUCAUAGAUAUAACACUCUAUGAAAAAUAGUCUUUCUAUGUGUGAUAUCUCCAAUUUUGGCCUCUAACCUUUUUCUUUUGUGGAUAAUUGUUCUCCAUGUAUUUAUGUGCAGAGUUCAUCAGCUAAUUUAUAUGACUCCCUGAAAAUCAUUUUCCUUUCGAUCUAUCUAAUAAAAAUCGAAUAACUUAUAUAUUGAUAAACUUAUAUUCCACAAUUAAGUAUGAGUAAAUGUUAAUUUAUGAACGCAAGUGAUAAACCAGUGCUUGCUCAUAAAAAAGAAGACGAUCGAUAAAAGAAAUGAGACAAUGACAUUAUAUUGAUCAUAAAAUCGUAACUUUUCCUCAUUUUCUAAAUUGUAAUUUAUCUAAUGAUAAUCUAAUCUAAGUUAUAACUAGGCUAACCUGAUAAUAUAGUUUUAUUAAACGAAUAAAAAUGAGUUUUUAAAUAAUUAUUUAAUUUUUAUUAAUUGAUUAUUUACAAUUUUAUUUUCUUAAUUGAAUAUAUUUUUAUGAAUGCCUAAUUUUAUUAAAAUAAUAAUAUGUGGAUGAAUUUGGAACAAUUAAAUAGAUAAAGACUAAAAUUGUAUUUUAUAAUUCUAUGUGACACAUAGUAAUAAUAUGGGUAAUGUCACAUCAGAUUGUCAUUGCUUAAGAUGUGUUUCUACUCGGCGAACCGAAGAGUCCCAUGCUUGGUCGCCGAGGUAGGCCCCGCGUGUUGGGACCACCAGAGUUGACCUAAGAGACAGGGUUCACAGCCAGCAAGGCCUUCAACACAAGGUUCAUAGCCAGCAAGGAGCAACCAAGGUCAUCAUACACACUGUCUGGCAUUCGCCAGGGAUCCAAUGAAUCCAUCCGGGCAUACCUAGAUCGGUUUAAUACCGAGGCCAUGAAGGUGCGCACCCUAAGCCCCGAAGUAGCAGUACAUGUCCUCGUUAUGGGACUUCAGGAAGGUCUUUUCCGCACAGAAUUGGCCAAAUACACCGACCUCACCAUGGAAGACCUCUGUUCCAAAGCCCAACAGUUCAUCAAUCUCGAAGAAACCCACCAUAUACACACCCGUACCGAACCCCAAACACAUCACCCCUCACGGGAAACCAAACGGCCAAGACCACACGACCUACCCCGCGACCUACCCUCACUAACCAAAAAAGCCAAAUCCUCCACNNNNNNNNNNNNNNNNNNNNNNNNNNNNNNNNNNNNNNNNNNNNNNNNNNNNNNNNNNNNNNNNNNNNNNNNNNNNNNNNNNNNNNNNNNNNNNNNNNNNAUACCGAGCCCCAAACACAUCACCCCUCACGGGAAACCAAACGGCCAAGACCACACGACCUACCCCGCGACCUACCCUCACUAACCACAAAGGCCAAAUACUCCACCUACACCCCCUGAACGCCAGCCGUUCACGAAUUCUGCAAGAAGUCCUCUCCACUCACCUCGUCCAACUUCCACGCCCCCACCCUACCAAGCCAGGCCCGCAAGACCGCUCCAAAUAUUGUGACUAUCACAGCAUGUUCGGCCACUUAACCAAUGACUGCACCCAGCUCCGGGAUACCAUCGAAGAUCUCAUACAGGCUGGUCAUCUACAACGGUUCAUCGCAGGCCUGGAGCAACGUCGGCGAUCACCACAACAUCGUCGACCAGAACCUCCAAGAAGACGGUCCCCCCCGCAAUUUCAACAACGGCGCCCUACCCCACGUCCUCAGGCGGAUAGGCAUCGAACAGACAACCGGAGGCCAAGGAGCCCAGUUGAUAUCAACACUAUCUCAGGAGGUUUUGCUGCCGGGGGUACCUCUAGGACUGCCCAGAAGAAAUAUGUACGGGAUGUAAUGCACGUCGCUGCCAGAAGCUCCCAGCAAAGACAGAACUACAGAUCCACUCCCCCCAUUACCUUCGACGACCGUGAUUAUGAAGGUGUUGUCCGAGGGCAUGAUGACCCCCUCGUCAUCACCGCUAAACUCAACAACAAAAAGGUUAGUCGCCUGUUCAUUGAUCAGGGUAGUUCGACUGACGUUAUUUUUCAGGAUCUAUUUGAAAAAAUGGAGCUCCGGGACCAUGACCUCCUACCUUAUGAAGGACAGCUGGUCGGGUUUUCCGGUCAGGGAAUCACUCCCAGGGGAUAUGUAGAGAUUUGGCUCACAGUCGGCGACCGCCCCAUGAGUAGGACUGUCCAAACAAAGUUCUUGGUCGUCCAGUGCUAUUCAGCAUACAACGCCAUAAUCGGCCGGCCAACUUUGAACAGGCUUGGAGCAAUCGUCUCUAUCCCCCAUCUGUGCAUGAAGUUCCUCUCGAUCACCCUCCAAGUCUGCAUAGUAAAAGGAGACCAACACUUGGCUCGCAGUUGCUACCAGAUAAGCCUCCGCCCCCACUUCAACAAACAGCACGCCCCCCUCCAAAAGACCUCAGGGCGUGCACAUGGUAGAAUUGGACGUCCGGGUGGACGAAGGAGACUUCCGACCACAACCAGAAGGGGAAAAAACAACUCUACAGUUGGGUCAAUCCCCAGGGUAGGUAGUGUACCUUGGCAGUUCCCUUCCGCCAAGCCAAAGGUUACGGCUGGAGACAUCUUUGAAGGCAAACCAGGACCUCUUCGCCUGGUCAGCAGCAGAUAUGACGGGCAUAGAUCCUUCAUUUGCCUGCCAUCGACUGACAACAAAACAAGGUGCUAAACCAGUGGCGCAAAGAAUGCGAAAAAUGGGGGCGGACAGGACCAAGGAAGUCGCUUUAAAAGUGGCCGAGUCGCUGGAGGCGGGUUUCAUCCGCGAAAUCACCUAGACCACGUGGUUGGAAAAUGUUGUGUUGGUAAAGAAACCAUCAGGGAAGUGGCGGAUGUGCGUGGACUACACAGACCUCAAUAAGGGAUGCCCUAAAGACCCUUAUCCUCUCCCAAACAUUGACCAUUUGGUGGAUAACUCUUCAGGAUACCAGUACCUGUCCUUCAUGGACGCAUACUCUCGUUACAAUCAGAUCCCGAUGUACCCUCUCGACCAAGAAAAAACUGCAUUCAUCACUGAUCAAGCCGCCUACUGCUACACUGUCAUGCCCUUUGGUUUGAAAAAUGCUGGGGCAACUUAUCAAAGGAUGAUGAGCAAGGUGUUCGCCGGCCAGACUGGAGAGCAAAUGGAGGUCAACAUGGAUGAUAUGAUCGCCAAAAGCCUCCCCGACGAAGAUCAUGUAGAAAAGCCUUCCCGGCGAAGAUCAAGUAUCCAUUUUGGAAAGCAUUUUUCGGCAACUCCGCAAAUACAACAUGCGGCUAAACUCCAAAAAAUGGACUUUCGGAGUGGAGGCGGGCAAAUUCCUCGGUUUUCUUCUGACCAGCCGAGGGGUCGAAGCAAAUCCAUCCAAAUGCCAGGCAAUCAUCAACAUGAGAAGCCCCUGCACGGUCAAGGAGGUCCAACAACUAAAUGGGCGACUAGCUGCGCUAUCCAGGUUUCUCCCAUCCGCUGCAAAGCAUUCACUUCCUUUAUUCCAGUUAUUGAAGAAGAGCAAGAAGUUUGAAUGGUUUGAGAGUUGCGAAGAGGUGUUCAACACUUUCAAGCAAUAUUUGGUCGCCCCGCCUAUUCUCUCCAAGCCAUUACCUGACAAAAUCCUGUAUGUAUACCUGACCGUGUCUGACGGAGCAGUAGCGACCGUACUGAUACGAGAAACGACAAAAGGUCAAAACCCGGUCUAUUUCACAAGCAAGGCCCUGCAAGGCCCGAAAUUAAGGUAUCAGAAGCUGGAAAAAGUGGCAUAUGCGUUGUUGGUCGCCACACGAAGAUUACGCCAGUACUUCCAAUCUCAUACAACAAUCGUCAGAAGUAAUCAGCCAAUCAGGCAAAUUUUGCAUAAGCCAGAGUUGGUCGGGUGGAUGAUCACAUGGUCAAUAGAACUCUCCCAAUUUGACAUCCGUUUCGAACCUCGCACGACCAUCAAGAGCCAAGUCCUAUCUGACUUCGUGGCCGAGCUAGCCGCACCAGAGGGCGAUCCAGAGCAGGUAUGGACUACCUUCGUCGAUGGAUCUUCUAACCCGAGAGGCAGCAGGGCUGGAAUUCUUCUGGAAGAUGGGCAAGGAGUAACCAUUGAACAUUCCCUUACUUUCACAUUUCCAACAUCCAACAACCAGGCAGAGUAUGAGGCGUGCAUCGCCGGACUACAGCUAGCAAGAGAAGUGGGCGCCCAUAAGGUAUUAAUUUGCAGCGAUUCUCAAUUACCCGUAUCUCAAGUUUCAGGUGCAUAUCAAACCAAGGACGCCCUCCUCGGAAAAUAUAUGCUCAAAGUGAAAGAGCUCAUGGCCGACUUCGAUGAAGCGACCAUUCAACAUGUACCCCGAGAAAGCAACGCCCGAGCAGAUAUCUUGUCCAAAAUCGCCAGCACCAAAUGCCUCGGGAACAAUCGGUCCGUCGUCCAAGGAACAGUCUACCACCUAAGUGUCAUGACAGUGGAACGGGUAGAGAUCCCAGACGACUAGAUGGGCCCUUUCAUCUGAUACAUCCUCCAUGGCACCAUACCUCCCGACAUGAGGGAAAAGCAACGGUUCCUCAGGUGUUCCUCUUGGUACAUCCUGCUCCGGGGAACACUGUAUCGACGAGGAUUCACCGCCCCCUUGCUCAAAUGCCUUGGUCCAGAGCGGGCGGAUUACGUCCUCAGAGAGGUUCACGAGGGAAGUUGUGGGCAUCAUUUGGGCGCCGCCUCACUUGCUAAGAAGGUGUUUCGUGCUGGGUACUACUGGCCCACAAUGGAAAAGGACGCGGCCGACCUCACUCGAAAAUGCACUCGUUGCCAACUUUUCACCGAUUUCCACAAAGCCCCACUAGAAGAACUAACCACAACACAAACGCCUUGGCCUUUCUGUAGGUGGGGUGUGGACAUCCUGGGGCCUUUCCCUCAAGCAGCGGGGCAACUGAAAUUUUUGACUGUCGCCAUAGAUUACUUCACUAAAUGGAUAGAAGCGGAAGCAUUGGCUACUAUUACCUCAGCAAACAUCCAGAAGUUCACCUGGCGAAGCAUAAUCACUCGUUUCGGCAUCCCUCCGCCAUAGUGACGGAACGGAAACCAGUUUGCCGAUCGAAGAUUCCAAGAAUUGUUACCAGGCCUUCAUAUCAAACAACACUUCACUUCAGUAGAACAUCCACAGACUAACGGACAGGUCGAAGCAGCAAACAAGGUCAUCCUGAAAGGGCUAAAGAAAAGGCUAGACGAGUCAAAGGCAAACUGGCCAGAUCAACUCCAUCACGUGUUGUGGGCAUAUCGAACCACUCCACACUCUACGACCGGCGAGUCACCAUUUAACUUAACAUACGGCGCAGAGGCCAUGAUCCCAAUCGAGAUAGGAGAACCUACUUGGCGAACAAUUCAAUUCAACAAGGGCGAUAAUCAAUCCCUCCUCAGAAACAACCUCGAUGAAGUGGAAGAAAUCCGAGAAAAGGCCCGUCUCAGAGAAGAAAACAUCAAAAAGAAAACUGCGGCGAAAUUCAACUCUUCAGUCGUUCCCCGCCAAUUUCCCGAAGGAACUCUAGUAUUAAGGAGAGCAGACAUAGGACGGGUGAAAGGCAAGUUAGGACCUAAUUGGGAGGGGCCUUACCGCGUCAUCAGCAAGAUCGGCAAAGGAGCAUACAAGCUUCAAGACUUAGCAGGAAAAAACAUCCCCAGAACUUGGAACACCGCCAACCUCCGAAUAUUUUAUGCCUAACCGACAACCCCAUGCGCGGUUGGUCGUUUCUUUUGUAAUAUUUUCCAAUUAUAUAUAUGAUUGAGAUAUUAUGCUCUGCAACUGUCUUGAUGAAUCAUUUCCCAGCCCUGAAUUUUUACUUUCACCCAAGGGGCUGGUCUUCGCCCCCCUUGCCUGGUGCAGUCUCCAUGAUUUUUACUUUCACCCAAGGUUCUGGUCUUCGCCCCCCUUGCCUGGUGCAAACUAUGGUUUUUACCUACACCCAAGGGGCCGGUCUUCGCCCCCCUUGCCUGGUGCGGUCUCUAUGAUUUCUACCUACACCCAAGGGGUCGGUCUUCGCCCCCUUGCCUGGUGCGGUCGCUAUGAUUUUUACUUUCACCCAAGGGGCUGGUCUUCGCCCCCCUUGCCUGGUGCAAACUCGAUGAUUUUUACUUACACCCAAGGGGCCGGUCUUCGCCCCCCUUGCCUGGUGCGGUCCCUAUGAUUUUUACUUUCACCCAAGGGGCUGGUCUUCGCCCCCCUUGCAUGGUGCAAACUCUAUGGUUUUUACCUACACCCAAGGGGUCGGUCUUCGCCCCCCUUGCCUGGUGCAGUCUCCAUGAUUUUCACCUACACCCAAGGGGCCGGUCUUCCCCCCCUUUGCCUGGUGCAAACUCUAUGGUUUUCACUUCCACCCAAGGGGCUGGUCCUCGCCCACUUAUUGGUUUUCUAUAGUCACUAAGAGACCGUUUUGCAUUGACCUUCGCCUGACUGAAGGCGUUCAAAUUCAGAACCAAAUCUAUCACGUUCAAAUUAUCCAGAAACACAUCGUCCAAUUGUUAUACGGAAUUACACAUAAGAAUUUAAUAAAGGAGAUAAGUGUAAAAAAUAUUCAUUAAGAGGAAAACAAGUUACAGGGCAAUUAGAAAGGAACAAAAUUACAAGGUACUUAAAAAUAAAAAUUACAAGGGCCCCCAUCCUGGCCAGGAAAAGACAUCAAAACCGGCUCACCGUCGUCACCCCCCACUAGUAGGCGCCCGUCUUCAACAUAGGCCCCCAGCUGAAUCCAAGACCAGUCUUUGUCUGGGAACGCCAGAGCUAGUUGGGACUAGGCACUCUCCCAAGCAUCCGCCGCGGCCUCACCCACAGCCUGCUCCAGCUGCUCUUUCUCAGUCUCAACGGCCGCCCGGCCCUCCUCCAAUGCCCGCACCCGAGCCUCCCAAGACACCUUCUCUUCCCCUAAUGUCUGCACCUGCCCUAGAAGUGCAGCCCUUUCUCGCUUGGUGGCCUCAACACGGGUUUUCCAAGCUACGGACUCCCUUUCUCGCCGGCGAAGCGCUUCAUCUUUGGCACGGACAAUCCCUUCUGAUUCCAUCACCUGGGCGGUCAGUUUCACCUUGUCGCUUUCCAAAAACCCCACACGAGCAGAUAGAUCCGCCGCCUGGGCCUUGGUGACCUCACCCAGUCUGAUCAGCUCCGCAUUCUCAGCAGCAUGAAUAUCAGCCAUUUUCUGCUUCUCCGCCUCAUGCGCAGCCCAGAGUUUCGCCGUCGCCGCAUCCGCCAUUCGUGACUCCAAAACCCCGUCCACCUCCAGAUACUUCUGGAUAGAAGCAAUAAAAACGACACUUCCUUUCACAUUUUGCAGAAGGACGGACAGAGGUAACUUGUCGAAAGUCUCCUUGGCAUGGGCAUUGAGGAGCGCCUGCUCAAUAACCCUAUGGACACUAACAGGGGAAAUGCGGUUCUGACUCCCCGUGGCACCUUUCUUCCUAGUUGACUCAGAUGAACGACCAACAUCCUCUCCAGCUGUCUGCCCAGAGGAAGGGGGCGCCGAAGUACCGGCUUCGUCCCCAGUUAAUGCGGGCGGAGGGAUUCCAGCAGGUUCAGCGGGAAGAACUGCUUCAGUUGGCACGACAGGAGGCAUUUCAGGAGCACUAUGGACCAGCUCUUGUUCCACCAAAUUCUGAGGCGACCCCCCACUCUCUGAAGAGGGCAGCGUAUCUGUCUGGCUGAGAGACCCAUCAGUAGGACAGGGGAUGGGGGAUGACGUUCUCUGACGCUUAGAAGAAGCAGCAUCUUUUUUAACCAAGGCGGCAGUUCUUUUCAAAAGCAGACUCUUCCUCAGCUUCUCACUCAUCUUGGCCUUUAGUUUGACUGCACAAAAAAGAAGAAAAACUUUAAUAACAGGAUAAGCAAAGGCAUACAAGCAAAGCAGUAAAGAAGUUGAAAUCCGGUCCCCCCACCAACAAGGUCCACUAAAGCCCCGCCCCCAUCGUGAAUCGCUGAACAAGGAAGAAUUCCCCCCUCGUCAAUCCAGUAAGUUAUGAGUUCAGCAGCUUUCGCCUCUUCCGGAGAUAAGUCCCCGGUCUCCACCAAAAAGCCAUUGGAAGGGCGUUGAUGGAUGUCCCCCUUCCAAGAAAAGGGGAAUCGCGGCUUGCCGGAUUUGCUGAGGCACCAGUUAUUCCACGCCCGCCUGACGUUGACCUUGAAAUACCCGCCCAUCCAUUUCUUCUCGUUUGAAGAAAAUGGCGUGAGCAGCCCCCGUUUUGGCCGAGAUAUCAAACUCGUCCACCCAUGGCGCCCUUCCUUUUCUUCAUCGAAAUUGGUGCGAUGACCGACCCGGAACAUCCAGAAGAAUAGCUUUAGAGUACAAGGAAUGCCCGCCGCCUGGCACAUGAUCUCGAACGCCUGAAUAAACCCCACGAAUUUGGGGUCAGUUGGCUCGGUGCAAUCUGCAGAUGCACCAGAAUUUGAAUAUCCCACUCCUCGAGUGGGAGACGAAGCCCCAAGCGUCGGACGUACGCCUCGUACAGGAAGAAGGUGUACUUAUCUUUCCUCUCCUCGACGAAGUCAAAGCAGACCCUCUCCACUAACUUAGGAGCACUGGCCUCGAAACCAUGAAACGUUUCUUUGGCCACAGGUAGGCUGACGGAACUCCCAUAGGGGAACGUGCUAGGCGUCCCAAGCACUUCUCUGUCCACCCACCAGUAGCGGGAAUCCGCCCCGACCAACUCCGCCAGAACAGACAGUUGUGGAGCCUUUGCCUUAUAUGUCCUCAUCGUCAUGAACCUGCCAUCACAAGAGUCAUCAGACUCAGACCCUGACUCAGACUCAGACUCGGAACUGUCGCUCAAAUUGAGCUCAUACUUGGCACGCAGUGAGGCCAGAUAAUCAUCGGCGCCCCUCCAGUGAAACCCUGCACCUCCACCUUUGGGAGGAGGAAGGACAACGCUCAACGGUUCAAGAACCUCCACCAAUGCGUAAGACGAAGGUGGCAAUUUUUGGAAACACGGGGGAGGUCCAGGAAGGAUCUCCACGUCGGAAUCAGACUCGUAAUCACAAAUGAAAACCAUGAAGAAUAGAAUGUUACCUGGGUUUUUUGAAGGAGUCGGAAUUAGGAAGAAUCCAAAAGAAGAUCACGCUGGAAGCAAGAAGUCGCAGAAAGAAUUCAAGGGUUUUUUGAAAAUACGUAAAAGAGGAAAUGUCACAAGACCCUCUAUUUAUAGAGAAACCUGGACCAUGGGCCAAAUUACCAGGCCCAUCCAUAUCCUCAUCAGAACCGUAGAAAAACACUCAAGUGCAAUCCAAUCGAAACCCGAGAAACAAGGAAAAUUCGGCGGAAACCAAAGGUCGUGCCACGUGCUGGCAGUUAAGUGACCAGCGGUCACUCCCAAGACACAAUAAAGUUCGGCGGACAUUAAGGGUCACAGUAGAUAAUGAUGAAACGUCCCACUCCAGCUGAUACACUACCCAAGGUCAUUAAUACCUACCACGUGGCGCGAGGAACUAAGGAAACACGUCAUAAAGCCUCAAAGAAACACCAAGCUGCUCAAGAUAGAUCCAUACGCCCAGCUGGACAAUCACCAAGUCUAGAAGCGUCCAUAACAGACCUCGCCCGGCGCCCUGGCCAACUCAAUCAACGUCCUUUCAAUAUCAGGUCGCCAAACCUCAUACGGUCAGACCGCCCUGAAGAAGGUACAGCCUCCCGACAUGCUCGCCCAACGUAGUCACAAACUUGGUCGCCAGGGUGGAUCCCACACCCAAAUCAAACGAAGCUCGUAUAGAGUCUCCCAACAUCCUGGCAGACUGGGGGCAACUGUUCCUACCCGGUGAACCGAAGAGUCCCACGCUUGGUCGCCGAGGUAGGCCCCGCGUGUUGGGACCACCAGAGUUGACGUAAGAGACGGCAUGCCUUCCGUACCUCACCAACCCACCUGCCAGCACAGUAGACAGGCUGUAGAACGGCUACCAAACCAACUACAGGCUAGAAGACAAGAAUGACACAGUGUACGGUCCUGGCAGACCGCCUGACACGGGAAAAACAACUCCCGACAACACCUUUGGUCGGCCACGUGUCGCACCACCAGCCAAGAACCCAAUGUCAACUCUCCCUUCUAUAAAUAGGGAUCUCUACCAACAGGAAGUAUCUUAAUCUCUUCACUCUUUAACAUUACUCAUUCUAUUGUUGUUUGUCUUCAUUAUUCUCACACUCCCAUUCACUGAGUUCAUACACUGACUUGAUCGUCGGAGAACCUUUUCAUGUACCUCCACCGGCGGGUCCAACUCUCCUACUUCAUCCUGCUACUUUGACGACUAUCCCCUUCUCCUUCCUCAGCAGCUGAUCAACCAUUGUCCGUACCUUUGUGUUCUAGUAAAGAACAAGAUGUUAUUGUGGGAAUAUUUGUAUUAACCUUGUUGAGAGAUAAUCAUUUUUGUAUAAUUAUAUAAAAUUGAGGAAUUAAUAAAGUGUUGGUCUAGUGGUAAGACUCCAUUAAAUUUAUAAGAUGAUUAAAAUGUUAAAUAUUCAAUUCAUGUAAGUGAUAUUUGUUAUAAAAGAUAGUCAUAUACUUCAAAAGAGAUUAAUUAUUUACCUAAAAUCGGUAGUACAUAAAAAAAAUAUAAAAUUGAGGAUGAGAAGAAUACGUAAAAAAUAUUGGAAAAGUUAUGUACAAAAGAAAAAUGUGUAAGGAAAACUUCACUUUAUAAUUAUGGGUAUCAUUUAGGAAUGACACGUUAGCCAAAUCCGACUCAUAGGAUAUACUAUUGUCAUUUAGGAAUGACACUUUAUAGAAAAUUACUACUUUAUACAUUUGGUAAGUUUGAGGAUGAAAAUCAAAGAAUUAAAAUCACACAAUUUAAAAAUUAAAAGAAUAAAACUACAUUUUAACCAUUAACUUGUCAGCUUUUUCUUACACAAAUCUAUUUGUCAUUUCAGCAAUGUGGUGGGUGGACCCGUUUAUAUCCAUCCCCAUAAAAAGUGGCUCACUUUUAAACUUUUUUCGAUUCAGAUUCUUCAGCCUAUUUGAUAUUUCACGUGUCAGUUUGUGUAUUAAAAAGGCUAACAUCUUAUAAAAAUAGAAGAGAUAAAAAUCAUAUACCCAUAUACAAAAAAGUCUUAAAAGUAAUAAUACAUUAGUAUAAUAAGAUAAGGCUGCACUAUAAUAGGCACUCAAGAACCCAAACAAAAUUAGUUUAUUAUAAAUAAAAAAAGUAUAAUCAUGUGUAAAGUGUUUUAAAGUUAAGUCAGGAUAGAAGUAAUUAUCAUCAUAAUUUAUGGAAAUCAAAUCAAAUUUAUAUAACAUAUUAAUAAUAUGUGUAGUAUGUUAAUUUUUUUAAUAUAUAGGCAUAUGUAAAAGUACCAAUUGACUUAUAAUCUUAUUUAAAAUUAUAUUGUAUUAUAAUAUGUUAGAAUUAGUCAAUAACAAGUUUGCUUUUAAAAAGAUUUAUUGAAAGUUGACAAUUGUUUUUAUAUAUUUUGUAUUAAAGUUCAUAUAUAAUAAUAAUAUUUAUAUUAAAAAUAGUAUCAUAUUAAUAUAUGGUAGUAUUAAAUAGAUUAUCUUAUUAUGCCUUUUUUUAUCUGUUCAAAGUCUAACCUAUUAAUUAAAUAGACUUUUCUGAAGGUAAAUACGAGCUUAUAAACAGAUUUAAUGUAUUUUCAUCCGUUUUAUUUUACGUGACCAAUCUUUUUUUAUACUAAUAAGAGUAUCUCUUAUCCUUCUGAGUAUAACUAUCCAUCCCGACAAAUGUUGUUCCGAAGAAUUGAACAUUCAAUUUUUUGAUAAUCUUAAGGAUUUGAUGAAUUAUUAUACUGUUAGACCAAUAUAGUUGGUAGUGACCAAUCUUUUAUUCUAUGGUUAAUUAUUAUUUCAUUUUUCAUAAAUAGAAAAAAAUAUCUAUUAAAAAUUGAUGAAACUGAAAGGGUAUUAUUUUUUUCCAUAAAUUUUAAAAUAUCUAUAAUUCAUGCCUCUCUUCUGGUGUUUGUGUGUCAUAGCGACAGAAGAAGGGACAAAAUCCAUUUAUCUAAUCACUGGAAAACAAAGAACAACGACAAAUAAACCAAAAAAUAUUUCAUUUCAUAAUAUAGAAAAAAAUAUCUAUAUAAAAAGGUUGCAGAAAAUGAAAGAGUAUUUUAUAUUUUGCCAUAAAUAUUAAAGGAUCAUUCAUCUCUCUCUUCCUCUCCUUGGUUUAUGUAAUAAUAAUCAACGUAAAACAAAGAACAAGGAUAACUGAAGCAAAAUUCUGAGGAAAAUGAGUGGUUCUUCACAGUUAGAACUAGAUGAUCCUGAUUUUGUUGAAGUUGAUCCAACUGGAAGAUAUGGCAGAGUAUAUACCCUCUAUCUUACUUUUUCUCUUUUCAAUUUCUUCCUCUCUAUCCAUCGCUUACUUGCAUGAUGUUUUUUUUUGUAAUUGUUUGUUGCAGUACAAUGAAAUUCUUGGCAAAGGAUCUUCAAAGAUAGUGUAUGAUUCCAAACUCAUGAUACCCAUUUCUUAAUUUUAUUAAAUUUGAAAUCUUUUUGGUUAUUCCAGUUUAUUAUAAUGCUGGCCCAGUAUUGAUUUGCUAAGAAUUUGAGCUUUCUUUUGUUUUUGUUUGAGUUUGCAGAAAUGGGUAUUUGAGUUUGUGUUUUGUUUUUUUGUUUUGGGACAAUUUGGGUUUUUAAUUGGCGCAGAUAUAGAGCAUUUGAUGAGUAUCAAGGGAUUGAAGUUGCUUGGAAUCAGGUCAAGCUUUAUGAUUUCCUGCAAAGUCCUGAAGAUCUUGAGAGGCUUUACUGUGAAAUUCAUCUCCUGAAAACAUUGAAGCAUAGGAACAUUAUGAAAUUUUAUACAUCUUGGGUGGAUACUGCUAAUAGGAAUAUUAAUUUUGUGACUGAAAUGUUUACUUCUGGUACUCUUAGACAGUAAGUUUCUUUGAAGUUUCAACUAUUUCCCAUCAUCCACAUUGUAUCUGUUCAUUCUAGUUUUCGUACAAUUUAGAUCUUGUACUAUUUUAUACCUUUUUCACUUAUUUUAAUUACCAAAUUAUCAAAUAGGUAUCGGUUAAAGCACAAGAGAGUUCACAUCAGAGCAUUGAAGCAUUGGUGUAGACAGAUUUUGGAAGGACUUCUCUAUCUUCAUAGCCAUGACCCACUCGUGAUCCAUAGAGAUCUCAAAUGUGAUAACAUUUUUAUCAAUGGAAAUCAAGGAGAAGUGAAGAUUGGGGAUCUCGGCCUGGCUGCAAUCCUCCGGAAAUCACAUGCCGAUCAUUGUGUAGGUAUGUCAUUUCCGUAAAUAUCAUAUAAGAAGUUAUCAAGAAAAGAUGUGGCCAGCUGGAAUACUAAUAGUAAUUCGUUCAUUUAGCUGAUGCGUUGUUUUAAGAAUGACAGUUUAACGUAAGAGACUGUUAUAUUUCCGGCAUAGUUGUUGCUUUCAGUAUAACUGGAUAAUUGGACAAGGAUCAGUAAUUCUAGUUAGAGGUUUCAUCUGUGACAGUUUGGUUUCCACAGGAACACCUGAGUUUAUGGCCCCAGAAGUAUACCAAGAGGCAUAUAAUGAAUUAGUCGAUAUAUAUUCUUUUGGUAUGUGCAUAUUAGAGAUGGUCACAUUUGAUUAUCCUUACAGUGAGUGCACUCAUCCAGCUCAAAUCUACAAGAAAGUUAUCUCUGUAAGAUUGCUCUCUUUAGCUCAGUCUUUAUUAUGAUAAGGGAUUUUUAUAUAGUGGUGAGAUUUCAUUGCCAAGAUGGUGAACCAAGGUGCAACAGUAAGGUUGUUUGCCUUGUGACCUGGAGGUCAAAGUUCAAAUCCUAGAACUAGCUUCUUGGCUUGCGAGUAUAAGGUUGUGUACAUAUAUACUCUCCCAGACCCACUAGGUGGGAGCCUCAUGCAUUGGGCCAUCUUUUUUUAGUGAGAUUUCAUUGGCAUUUCAUAUCUCCAGGGGGCAAAACCAGAUGCUUUUUAUAAAGUGAAGGAUCCAGACGUGCGACAAUUUGUUGAGAAAUGCUUGACAACAGUUUCUCUAAGGCUCUCUGCAAAGGAGCUUCUAGAUGAUCCAUUUCUUCGAGAUGAUGAUUGCGAGUAUGAUUUGAGGCCCGUAAACAGUGAUGGAUUGGAUGACUUUGUUCCUCUUAUCGGACAGCCAUACUUUAAUCAGCAUCAAAGCUAUAGUAUAUUUAGUAAUGAUUACUCAAAUGGUUUUGGGUAUGAAGGAGACUGGAGUCCUCAUACAGCUGAGAUUGAAAAUUGUGGAAUUGAACCUUUCGAGCACAAUGGUGAUGAUGAUGAACCCUCUGAAGAGGUUGACAUAAGCAUCAAGGGUGAGAGGAAAGAUGACGAUGGCAUCUUUUUGAGACUAAGAAUUACUGAUAAAGAAGGUUGGGAUGCCACUUUUUUAUCAUGUCUGUACUUUAUACCUGGGAUUUGUGUAUUUUCGUUAUGCAUAACGGUCCGAAUUAAUUGUUUAUCACAGGUCAUAUUCGAAACAUUUAUUUCCCAUUUGACGUAGAGACAGACACAGCAAUAAGCGUGGCAACUGAAAUGGUUGCAGAACUUGACAUUACUGAUCAGGAUGUUACCAGUAUAGCAGUUAUGAUAGACGGGGAAAUUGCUUCCUUAGUACCUGAUUGGAAGCCGGGACCAGCAAUUGAGGACACCCAUUUUGCCAAUCAAGGUUUAUAUCAGAAUUGUGCGUCUAAUCACUCUCGUAAUGCCUCUGGGCUGAAUUUUCUUUCAAACAAUCCAGGUAGCAAGGACUUGCAAUCCGAAGAGAUCACGUUCCAAGCUGAGGAGUAUGGCAACCGGGUUAGAGAAGAUGUACUUAACUCAUCAAGCCAAUCAAAUUUCUCACAGUAUCAGGAUUGUUGGAGUCGGCAUGAAAGUUGUGAACUGAGUCAGGUAGAGUCUGAUCAAAGCCAUCAUCAUGAACCAUAUGGACAGUUUAACAAACCAGUAUCAGCUGAAGCCAGAGGACGAAGUGCUUUGGAAAAAAAAUUCACGCCCAAUGCAGGAAAAUCCUGGCCAAAAUCAGUAUCCCAAGAUUUCUCGGUUAUCCACUCUAUGUACCGUAGCUUGAGAAAGAGUAUUAUAAAGAUAUCCAAAGGGAACUGAGAUUUCUCAAGCAAAAUACCAGAUGGAGUUAAGGGAAAUUAUGGAUCAAAACUUUGGACUAACAGUUAAAUCUUCGUAUAGUAGUAACAGAAAACACAAAACAGAGUGCGGCUUUUUUGACACCUUCAGUGACAGAACUUGAACUGUGAUUUCAGUAGCUAUCCUCAUGUAGUCAUGUCCAUAAGAGCAGCCCGAAUUCGGAAACCCGAAUUGUGAGGCGACUGAAUCACAUGGAGAAAAAAGGUAUGGUUGCUGCAAACAGUUUUUGCACAGGACAGUUUCCUUGCCAGUUGAUGCUGCUGAUAUAUAACUUUGUGAUGGCCUCAUUGAAGAAUUAUUUUGUACAUUAUAUAUAAAAUUCUCACAUAGAGGCUAUCUGAUUUCUACAUCCCCAGACUUUUUUCUUCUAGGGAUAUCAAAUUGUGCACAAAGAAACCUUUAGCUACUAGCUAGAACCUCUUUCCUUUAUAAGUAUCACUUUUUUGGGACAAUGUUUGUUUACAAGUGUUUGUUUUCAAAAUUGAAGAAAUACUAAUUAUUCAUUUAUCAAUUAUACAAGUGUUUGUUUUCAUGAUUGAAGAAAUAAUAAUUAUUCAAUUAUACCAUGAGAAAAAAUAUAUGGAUCGUAAUAUCUAUAUCUUGUCAGCGUAAAGAUUUAUACAUAGUCAUCACAUACAUGAUCAAAUAUGAAUGUCGAAAUAUGCAAUAUAGGGCAUAAAAUUCAUACAUUGUCAAUACAUAUAUUUUUUUCUCAAAUAUAUGUACUUAUAAUGUAAAAUAUUUAUACACUAUCAGUACAUUAUUUACUGUUCAUAUUUAAUCGAUUAUUCAAAAAAUAAAAUAAAUGAAUGGUGAUAUUCACCUAUAUAAUUAUAUUGAUAUUAUACUCUUAUAUCAUUACUAUCGUUAUGGUAGAAAUAGAGAAAAUAAUUAUAGAAUGAAGUGGAGAGAGCACUUGAAGAGUGUAUAAAAGAAAAAAUAUUUACAAAUAUAAAAUAACAUAAAACUAACUCAGAGAUAGUUCUCACCACAACAUUUCCUUCUUUGGAGUGAGGCUUACAAAACUCUUCAAAUAAUAAUAUAAAAAAGACAUUCAUUUUCCUUGUCAAAAUCAAAUGAUCUUGUUACAGUAUAUAAAAAAGGUUCUUACGUUGUCAUUUCGUUGCAUCAUGAUCAUGGAAUGUAUAUGCUAUGACGUUGAAAUCGAAAAUAAUGCAAAAGGGAGGACAAUCAUUGUAUUGUAUUUAUACUUAACUAUGCAUGAGCGUGAUGGUUGAUAAAGAAUGGGGCUCAAUCGCUGAACGGACGUUGACAAAUCAAUCAAUUAUUAUUUGCUUUAUGAUGAAUUAUUUCCACUUUUUUAUGUGUAUCAGGUUGGUUCUGCUUUAGAUAUUAGAUAUCACACAGUGUAUUAUUUUAUAUUUCAUUUGUGUUCUUCAUUGAAAAAAUAUUCCUAUACAAAAAUUAAUAACUAAAUGAGUUGGGAUAUGAUUCAGGGGAAUAGAAAACUUUGCUGCAAAGUUUUUCCUAAAAUGUAUCUUGGAGACUGUAUGGUGUAUGCUCGUAGGCAUGCUCCUUAUGCUAUUUGGAAAAGUAUUGUGAAAGCUACUAUAAAAUUGGGAGAUGGUUUUAAUCUAUAGUUAGGUAACAAAAACCGAUCUUUCUGGUAUGAUAAUUGGUUUGAUUUGGGCAAGUUGAGUCACCUAGGAUACUAUGUCAAUAUUUCUGACACUCACGUGCAACUUGAGGAUUUCUAGAAGGGCAAAUCCUAGGAUUUUAGUUUCAUUUACACUAUGCUUCCUAUUCAUGUAAUGUAAAUUAUUCAAACUAUUAAAGUCCCAUCUUCGCUUAGCAAUAUGGAUUCUUGGAUCAGGUAAGAUAGUGCAACAAGCUGUUCUAAUUCAGGCUACUAGUGGAUUAGGAGAAAUGAGGAAGUUUCGCCUGCUCAUAGCCUUUGGAGUUGGUUAUGGAGACUCUGUGUUACGGAAAGGUCAAGUUUUUUUGUUGGCUCUCUACUCAUGAUUCUUUGCCACCUAACGCUCUAUGCUUCAGAGGACAUUUGUCUAACACAUCUACCUACUCUGGAUGUAGUAGUGUAUUUGAGGAUAUAAUCCACAUAUUCAUGAACCGUCGUAACUCUGCUUUUUUAUGAUGUUGUAUGGGCUUUAAUGGUCAGGGCUUUUGGGCUACUCAAUCUUUCAGUACUUGACUAGUGGAUAAUGUCAGAACCCAUAAUGGUAAUCUUUUUCUGAUUGGCCUAUGGUGGCUUGGCGAUGGCGUAACGAUUCCAUAUUUGGUAGUAUUGUCCGUGAUAUAGCUUAUAUUGCUUCUAAUGUUCAUCAAGACUAUAGAGAUUGAUUUUCUAAUGAUUCCUUCUCCAUUGGAUUGGUGUAGGAAAGUAUCCAAUGGUUUCGUCUUAAGAGUGGUUGGCUGAAACUUAAUGUAGAUGACAAUUGUAUAAUCCAUAAUCAAAUUAUUGGAGGAGGGGGAGUUAUCCGUAACCAUCACGAACAAUGACUUUCUGGUUUUCUCUUCCAAAAUUGGAUCCGGAUCUCCCAUCCUGGCUGAAUUGCUUACUAUGGAGAAUGGUCUUCAUUUGACUUGGAAUCAAGGACAUCGUGUGAUUAUCUUAGAGAGUGGUUGUCUUGAGGCGAUUCAUAUGAUCACCGAGAAGACACAAAGUCGCUUAUAAUAUUUGGUUCAACCUUUACAGAGCAUUUUUGAGUUACUUAGCAGAAAUUGAGAAGUUCGUGUGCAGCAUAUCUUAAUAUAAAGAAACAUGUUAGCUGAUUGUUUGGCUAAAUUCAAUUUAAAUCUUCUUUUCUCUUCAAGGAUUUGCGACAUGUCACCUACAGAAGCUCUCAACUUUUUGCAUAUGAAUCUCAAUCAUAUCCUUUAGCCUUUAUUUUUUUUAUUUCGGAUGUAUCAAAAAAUAUUACACAAUCAACUAACCAAUUAUACUAAACGAAUAACUAUAAUAAGUGGAAGAAAGGCCCCGUACAAGAAACUUAUGACAUAUUUAUUUUGGAUCGUAUUACAUAUUUUGUUACAAUUUUUAUGACAAAUAAUGUUAAGGUAUAAGAAAAACAACACAUGUUAAAAAUUUAUCCUUCGUUUAUUAGUAUAAUUGGUGACUUAGGUUAUGCCUAUGAGUUAUUGGGACGCAAAAUUUUAUUCAUUAGCCGAAAAUAUCUAUUUUUUGUACAUGCUUUUCUAGUGGAUGAGGUGUGUUGUACAUAUACAUUAUUCUCUUAAUUAUUAAAUGUUAUGUUUUGAUUUUAUAAAUAACUAGUGUGUCGACAUAUAUUUUGUGUCUGCCAGUCUACAUUGUAUAAUAUUAAGUAUUCAUUUUUUAUAUAUUUCAUUUUGCAAAAUUAAAAUGUAUUUUUUAUGUUGGGUGUACUUUAUAUUAUAUUUUUUUAUUAUAAGUUCAAUUUAAUGUGAGAGAGGUGAUUAAUAUAUUUUGGGGUAGUUACCUAUGAUUAUAUGGUUUUUUUUUGUAAAAAUUAAAUAAUGCUAAGCGAAAAAUAGAAAAAUGAAAAUUAUACAAUGGUGGUAGUUACAUCAUGUUUUGGCAUUAUAUUAUUGUUAGAUAUUUAUGGAACGACAAGUGCACCGUAUUGUCCAAGUAAUAGAAUCCGAUAAAAUACUGGGAUAUCGUCCUUAGGGAGUAGACUAGAUUUACACUAAUUCAUACAAUAAUAAUUUGAGUAUAUAUUUACAAUGAUGUUUUUAUAAAAUUUUGUAUUUGGUUGUGAAAAAUCAUAAAUUGAACGAAAAACAAUUAAAAGAAACUGGGAUCGAAAUGCAUCAUUCUUUCCCAUUGACAUUCAUGGAUUCAAUUCCAAGUAACUUAUGAAGUUAUUGAUUCAGAUGCACAUUUCAUUCAAAUCAUUCACAUCAAUCCCUUGAGUGUAAAAUUCUUAGUCAAUAACUCAAAUACCAAUUCCUUGGAUAUUUGAUCGGAUUACUAGCAUUAAGUUCUAUGUAAAAGCAAUACAUACAUCAUUGUCCAUUCCUAGAGCAAUGAUGUAUGAAGGAAGAUGAUCCAGGUUCGGUGUCAAGUUUAACUUCCCAAUUAAACUUGAACCCAAGAACAAGAAAUUAAUAGCAAAUUAAACUCAUGCAUUAAGAAUGAGAUGAACUUCUCAAAAUCCAAUAACAAUUACAAUAGAAUCGAAUCCAUGACUACAAAGGUUAGAAUAUUACAUUUCGAAACCCACAACAAGAUCUAAUCACUCCUUCUCGCUAUUACAACGCUCGAAUCAUGAAAUUAUACAAUAAAAAAUACGACGUAGAAUCGUUUUCACGACUUCUAUCCUAAUCUCCUUGUGUUUCUCUCUAUUUUCGUGCCAAAGAUGUUUCAGAAGUGUUUUGAUAAUCUCCCCUGAUGUCCAAAACUGCCUAUAUCAAGUUCUAAAUGCUACUCUCUCGCUCAUGCUAGGGAUUCUCGCUUGAGCGAGAGAAAAUGCCAUUCCCUCGCUUGAACACAUCGCUUGGGCGAGGGAAACACAUGGCCUAAUUGAAUUUUGGCCCCCAAAUAUUGCUUGAGCGACAGUCCCUCGCUUGGGCGAGGGACAGUAGUAUUUUCUGAUGAUUUUCUUCUGAGGUAUGGCUUAAGCGACCAUUCCCUCGCUUGGGUGAGACUUGUGUUGUUCAAAAACUCAUUCUUCUCUUUUUUUCUCCUUUGUCCAUCAUUUCUAAACCUACAAACAAUAAAACACAAGUAAUUUCCUAAACAAUACAAGAUUUACUAAGUUAUUGGGAAUUGUACGUAAUGAUAGCAUAAAUACACGCUAAGUGUCCCAAAAGCAUAUAAAUUUCCUUAACAAUUUGGCACUUAACAAUUAUACAAGCGUGGCGACAAGCACUUCAUGCCUGCCGACCAAAUUCUUACUUUUUUGUAUCAAAUAUUUGUAAUUUACAGUUGAAUUUAUUCAAUUGGUAUCAGAUAUUUUUUGGUGUAAUGUUAAAUUUUUAAAUACACUUUCAAAAUAAGAAGAUGAUGAUGGCAAAAUAAGAAGAUAAUAUUAUAUAUUUUGUUGUAGAAAUUAGAAGAUAAUGAGGGUAAAAUAGGGAAUCACAAAUUACAUCAUGGUAGGGUGGUUAUUUUGUGUUUUACCUUUAUUAAGUAGUAUAAAUAAAUAUGAAACUAAAAGUUAUAAAGAUAAAAUAUGAAAACAUAAAAUCCUCUAUGAAUAGCUAUUUUAUGUUUAUAAGUGUUAGUGUCAAUUAGUAUAGAUAAACAUGAAAUGAAAAAAUAUAAAAGAUAAAAUAGAGAAACAUAAAAUAUUUCAUGGGUAGAUAUUUUACGUUUGUUAGUAUUAGUAUAGAUAAAUAUGAAAUUAGGAGUUAUAAAAAAUUAAAUAGAGAAACAUAAAAUACUUCAUGGGUAGUUAUUUUAUGUUUUCCCUUUAUAAAUGUUAGUUGGUACAUGCACUUUGUGCCUAUCGGUGAAUAUGGCAUGAUACUACAUAUGCAAUUUUUAUAUAUUUCAUUUUUUAGAUUUAGAAUGUAUUUGUUAUGUUCGGUGUACUUUAUAUUAUAUUUUGUGUGUGUUUAUGAUAAUGUUUAAUUUAAGGUGAGAUAUGUGGUUAAUUAAUGUAUUGGUGGUGGUUGCUUAGAAUUAUAUGGUUUUUUUGUGAAAAUUAAGUAAUGUUAAGGGCAAAACAGAAAGUGAAAAUUACACAAUGAUGGAAGUUAUUUCAAGUUUUGGUUUUAUAUAUAGUAUAUAUAUAUAUAUAUAUAUAUAUAUAUAAUAUAGAUAUAGAUAUUAUACAAGUGUUUGACAGACAUUUCGUGUUUGUCGGCUUAUAUUCUUAUUUUAUAAUACUAAGUACUUAAUUUUUAUAUUUCAUUUUGGAAAAUUAGAAUAUACUUUUUUUAUAUUAUAUGUACUUUAUAUUAUAUUUUAUUGUCUUUAUUAGAACUAGUGUGUCAAUAGACAUUUCAUGUCUGUCGACUCACAUUCUUAUUUUAUGAUAUUAAGUAUUAAAUUUGUAUUUUUUAUUUUAAAGAAUUAGAAUAUUUUUUAUUUGAUGUACUUCAUGUUAUAAUUUUUGUAUUUAUUAUAAUAUCCAACAUAAAUUUAGAUGUAUUAAUUAUAGUUAUCUAGGAUUAUAUUUUACUUUAGAAAUAAAAAAAUAUUAUGAACAAAAUAAGAAAAUAGAAUCAGUAGUUAUUUCAAGUUUUGGCUUUAUAUAUAGUACUAGCGUGUCGAGAGAUACUUCGUGUCUGCCGACCCACAUUCUUAUUUUAUGAUAUUAAGUAUUAAAUUUGUAUUUUUAUUUUAGAGAAUUGGAAGUUUUGUAUUGGAUGUACCUUAUUGUUAUAAUUUUUGUAUUUAUUAUAAUAUUCAACUUAAAGUGGGAUGUAUUAAUUAUUGUAAUCUAGAAUUAUAUGGUUUUACUUUAGAAAAAAAUAUAUCAAAUGCAAAAUAGGAAAAUAGAAUCAUGACGGUAAUUAUUUCAAGUUUUGGCUUUAUAUAUAACUAACGUGUCGGUAGUUACUCCGUGUCUGCCGACCCGCACUUUUACUUUUUAGUAUUGAAUAUUUAAUUUUUAUAUAUUUCAUUUCAGAGAAUUAGACGUGAUAUUAUAGUUUUUUUGAUAAAAAAUAUAUAAAUGAAUUGUGAUAUUAUUAAAAUAAAAAGCAUUGGUAGUUUGAUAUAUUUAGUGGAUGUUGUGAAUACCCACUUUUGUUCGGUCCAGUGUUCAACAGUUAAAAUAGACUCUAGUGUAUAUUUAUUAGAGUUACUUUGUGAAGAAUUUUGGCAUUUAAGUUUAAUUAUCAACUCAUCACACUAAUCAUAUACAUAUAUUAACAUUAUAGGUUUGUCUUUUUUUGCAAUAAGAGACACUUUUAUUAAUACACAUAAACUGAUUUUUUAUUUUAAUUAUAUAUAUUCAUAUUUAAUUCAAAAAUGUGAAAUAUAUAAUAAAAAUAAAAUAACAAAUUGAUUUCUAUUAUAAUUAUUUAUAUCAAUAUUUAAUCCAAAAAUAAAAAUAAAAAGUUUAUAUUAAAACAAUAAAUGAAUUUUGGAUGGGAGAUAAUGUCUAAAGGGGUGGAACCACUUUAUGAAAGUGGGGGUGGUUACCCAGUUUUUAGGAAGAGAGGUUUCCUGGUUUUUAGAUUUUAAAAGAAAGAAGAAGAUUUUCAGAAGGGGAUACCAGCAACACGUAAAAGAGAGAGAAAAAGAGUAAAGGAUAGAACAUUGAAAAGUGACCAGAGACAAAUUCAUUUUAGAGAUCAUCCGUAGUAAAUCCAGAAACCCUGCACCAUUAAUCCAAAACCAGCUCAUCUAAUAACAAGUCUAAAAACCCCAUUCUAAAAUUUAGAAACAGUAGAAGACGAGAUCAUACAUUGAAGAAACAAGGGGAACCAAAGUGCAAAGAAAGGAAAGAAGCUAGGAAUCUAAAAAGGUUGGUAAUCACGUGUACCAAUAUUUAUUUGUGUUUUUUGUUUUCUUUAGUCUUUUAACAUGUUAUAUGUCAUCAAAUCAUUCAUUGUGAUUCUUUUUUUAGAAUUUUUGUUUAUUCUUUAGUGUCGUAUUAUUCUCAAAGGGAAAUAAGUCUUCAAAGGUUUUCAUCCAAGUUUCUAAGAAGUUUUCCUUGCAAUCUUUCUAUCAUGCUUCAUUAGUAUGUACAUAAGUUUUGUAUCAAAAAUGCAUAAAAAACACACACAGGGAGUAACGUAAAAAAACAGAACGUUGCACUAAAACUAUUAGAAACCCAAUUUAUAGCACUGGUACAAUAAAGAUAAAAAUAUUAAUUUGCCUCUCCUACAACCAUAUUCAUUCCUUUUUUACAAUUUCUCACAUUCUCAACAUAAACAUUCUUUUGCCAUCACCCCCAUAAACCCAUGUUCAGGUAUACUCAUUCUAUCAUUUAACAUGGCAAAACAAUAUUAAAAGAAAAUGAAGAAAGAAGACAAUUUCACUUCAUCAUUCCCCAUAUCCUUCUAAUACUUCUAGUUGACCUCAGGGGGAACCAUAGCCACCACCAGGGCCAUAGAACCAGGGAGUUCAGCCAUUAGAGCACAAGAACCGCUCCUCAUCGUCACUAAUUACCGCAAACCACCAUAGCCAAUAAGAUCGAGAACUAGAGAAGAAAAUACUAGAUCAAGAGACGCGAAAGUGAAAGACUUUUUUUUUCAUCUUACCACUGGAGCCAUGGAGACUACAUGUUCUCCGCCAAACCGCCACCGCCAAACCGCCACCGCCAAACCGUGUUGAGGCAAGCGGUUCGCCCCAAGUUCGUGAGCCAUAGCCACCACCGUGGGCAGUGCGGCUCCCUCUGCCAUUUCCAUCGCCUAAGCUGCAUCAUCCCUUCGUCGGAGCAGUGUUCCUACAUCAAUUCACGGUUCCGGAGUCACUAAAAGGGAAGGACCCUCUUGCUGAAGUUUCUCAAGUCUUUAAUAUAAGAAGAUGACCUAACCUUUUUUUAAUUACACACUCCCAAUAUAAGUUGAAGACUUUAUGUAGACCCCUAACCCAAAAGCCCACUGGUGUUAAGUUAAGUUUAUAAAAAAAAUGCAAAAGUUACGUGCCUAUUUUUAAUAGUGAAGAUAUAUUUAUUUGCUUUAUUAAAAUUAGCUAACAGAGAAUUCAAUCUCUUUUGGUAGGAUUAGUAGUGCGUUAUUACAUAGUUAGAAUUGAAUUGAUUUCCUUCUUUUAAAAAACAAAAAAAAGUAGUUAAGUUUCAAGUUAAUUUCUUAAACAAUAUGUUAAUUAUUAGUUUUAAGAUUUAAUAGGAGGGUUAAAACUCGUAUUGUAUCGUUCUUCUCACUUCAAGUUGAGAACCGGUCGCGGUCACUUGUGUUGUUUCUGUUAUCUAUCGAAAUGAGAAGAAGGUAAAUAAUCAAUGUUGAUUCUUCGUCUAUUAAUCUCACUCCAACUAAACUCAAACGAAUUCUAAACUUUAUUUUAAAAGUAUAAUGAUAAUAAUAAAUUUUAAUUAUUUUUGGGAUAUAAUGGUGAGGUUACAACUCGUAUUGUGUCUUUCUCUUUGCUUCGAGUCGAGAAUCGGUCGCGGUCAUUUGUACUGCUUCUGCUAUCUAUCGAACUAGGAAGAAGGUAAGCAAUCAAUGUUGACUCUUCAUCUAUUAAUUCCACUCUAAUUAAACUCAAAUAAAUUUCUAAAUUCUAUUUUAAAAAUAAGAUUAAUAUUAAUGUUUUAAUUAUUUUGGGAUUCAAUAGCCGAGGUUACGACUCGUAUUGCAUCUUUCUUCUCAUUUCGAGCUGAGAAUCGGUCACGGUCAUUUGUACUGCUUCUGCUAUCUAUUGAAGUGAGGAGAGGGUAAGCAAUCAAUGUUGACUCUUCGUCUAUUAGUUCAACUUCGAAUAAAUCCAAACAAUUUUUAACUUUCUUUUUAAAUCUAACCAAAUUAAUUUUUAAAGAACUACGUAGUCUUGAUUUCCCUAUUGCACCCGAGGAUACGUAGGAGCAAUAUGAACUUGUCAGAUACAAAUAAAAAAAAUGAAAAAAUAUUUUGGUGAAGCGAUUUAAUUUAAAUAAAUUAAGGGUAUUAAAUUUAUGCAAUUAGUUAGGGUACCAUUUUAUUACGGGCGAACGAGGUGCUAAUACCUUCCCCAAUUCGUAAUCGGCUCCCGAUCCUGGAUAUCAAAAAUCCAAAAGCCCAAUAUGAUUGGGCUUUAAAGAUUUUUAUACAUUUUUAACCAUAAAAUAUAGUGGCGAUUCUAAGAGAUCGCGUAACCGAAAAUCGGGGCGCGACAGCUGGCGACUCUGCUGGGGAGUAUUUUUUUAAGAGGGUCAGGCCCAGUACCACUUUUUGCAUGUUUGUUUUAUACCCUUAUGCCUUCUUUGUUUGUGAAAACUUGUGUAUGCAUCUUUAUUUAUGUUAUUUAUUUAUUUUUCGAGUUAAUUAAUUAUCUUGAACGUACUCACCUAUUUCUUGUGCAGCUUUUGAGGGGCGGAUUUAUUUUAUGGUCUAUGUGCUUCCUCACACACUCACUUGGUACACUUGAGUUGCACACGCCCUACACCCGGGUGUUAGAGAUUAAGAUUAAGAUAGGGGGACAUUUUCUUUGCCGGUAAGUGACCUUGUGUCACAUCGAGUAUUGGCGUGAUGAACCACCUAGAUUGUUCCCAUAUAUCAUGAGUUGGCUGCAUGGGGAGCCAGUCUCUUCUCGUAACUAGCUCAUGAUAUAUGGUUUCCAUUCUUUUUAAGAUUGGAUGCAGUCUGAUGAUAUUUAGAAGUCUAGAGCUUUAUCGAGUCCAGUUUAGUCAAGACCUAGCAUUCCACUAAGGGUUGCAGCUUUCAAAAAAAAAAAAACCUUCUAAGUAUACCUUACAUAGGACACUGGAAGCAAACCUUAAUCCACUUUCCAGUUGCAUCAAUGUACACUAUGAAACGUGAUUUCCAUCAUUCCAAACUAUUUUAAAUAUGUUAGUGAAUUUUUUUUUAUUAAACAUGAUUUAUAACUUACCCCCUAUGGGCCCAAAUACCCUCGGGACAUUUUUAUAUCAACAAAAUUGGAUUGUACUCUUUUAUUAAUUUCAUUAUUCUAUAUCAAACAUUUUCAUUUUAUCCUUCAUUACAUAUCAUGCAUCAUUACAUUUUAUGUAACAUCACAAAUCAUUAUGUUCAUGCAUUCAAGUAACAUUUUUUAUCCUUAAUAAACAGAUUCCUUUUCAGAAAAGAGAUCUGCGGUAUAGUGAGACAUGAAGGCUAAUUCUCUUGUUAUGGGUCAAAGCAGUAAUUUAUUGGUGAAAAGGGAAUAAAAGCUGAGGUACAAGGAAUAGAUGUGAGCUGUUUGAUAGAGUUGAUUCCCCAGAUCCCUCAAGAAAUUCAGAAUAAGUUCAACAAAGAGUAUGGAAGGCUGAUUGAUCUACUCCUUAUCACUGUUGAUGCAGAUACACUGAAAGUUAUGGAUGCCAUGGUUUAGUAUUGGAGUCCAACUUUGAGAGUAUUUGAGUUUCCUAACUUAGAUGCAUCACCUACGAUCGAAGAAUAUGAGGUUCUGCUGGAUAUUCAGGUAAGAGAUAGAGAGAAAGUCUAUUUGUUCACUGAGGCUCAGAAUGUUACAGAAGACUUGAUAGAGAGGCUCGUUGGGGUACGUCCGAGUUCGACUAACAUCAUCAAACAGGGGAUGACCUUUGGGCUCAAAUGGAAAUUUUUUAAGAAACAUAUUAGUCAAACAGCGGAGCAAGGAAAAUGGGAGUUGUUCAAACCAGCAUUCGCCUUGACAGUCUAUGACAUGAUCUUGUUCCCAUUUGUCCAUGACAUGAUCUUGUUCCCAUUUUUCCAUGACAUGAUCGAUCAGGCGGCCAUUGAUGUGUUCACAAAGUUCAGGUCGUUUGGAACUAACCCAGUCCCAUCCAUCGUGGCAGAGACCCUACUAUCGUUCCAAAGGUGUCAUGAAAAGGGUCAUUUCAAAAUCUGAUGUUGUACUCAACUGUUGUAUGUGUGGAUGAUCAUCAGAUUCAAACACCAUCAAUAUCCGGAUUGGAGCAGACAUCCCCUCUUAAGGUUCAGAAAUAUUGGGGUGAAACCAAUGCAGUUGUUGGACUGGAAAAAGUUGUUUGACGAGGUUACUCCUAGGAACUUUGGUACAAAGACUCACUUUUAUGAGAGAUAUUCAUCAAUCAUGUAUUCUUACAGGGAGUACCCAAAUAUGAUAUUAAUGGGACCUCGAGGAUGCAUUUCCUUCACCCCCUUCACUCCAGCUCUGAUACUUGGUCAGCUCAAAUGGGGAAUGACACCGGUACGACCCGAACAGCUACAGGGAUUCUCCAUAUGGUACAAAAGCGAGGAGGCCACCAAAGAGAAAUUGGACUCAAUCAGAAAUGCUUUAAAAAUGAUUCGUCUUUGUGGGCCAAAUGAGUUGGGAGAACAUCAAGUCUUUUACACCGAGGAAUAUAAGCUAUGGCGCAGUGGAAGGCGAAAUGGUCAGGCUGUCCCACCAAUUGCCCAACCACAGAAACUACCUGGUCCAUCUGAGAAUGAGUUGUUGAAGGAACAUAUCAAGCUCUUAGAGGCUAAGCUAGAAGAAGCUAGAGACAUACAUGACAAGGAUAAUCUGGGUCUUGAAAAACUCAACAAAAUCAUCCCCAAUAUGAAGAAGGAUCAAACAAGCCUUAAAAGGGACUAUGCUGAAAUGUGCUCUGAGUCGGGAAAGGUUCGCCUAAUUCGGACAGUAAAAGAGAAAGAUGCAGAAAUAACUGACCAUAUCGAUCGGUUGAAAGCGCAAAGUCAUGCCACACGCAAGGCUGAAGCCAAAGCAAAGUCUAUAGAACUUGAAAUGGAGAAGAUAAGACAGAGUGAAAGGCAAGCAUGGUUUAUUGUUAAAGACUAUCAAUUGAUAUUGGGUGAAGAAUAACAGAAAGAAGAUAACCUCAAAGCCAGCCUCAAAGCUUCAGAGAAAGCCUGCUAUGAUGCAUUAACAGAAGCAAGUCAGCUAUCAGAACAACUUCAAAAACUCAAAACUGCAUAUGAUGAAUUAGUGGCCAACCAGGAAAAUUGGUCAGAUAAUUGGAAGGGAGUACUCGAAGAAAGUCAAUGGGAGAUAAACAAAUGGGAAGGGAGAUGCAGACAAUUAGUUGAUGGUCUCGGUGAUUUUUCUGAUGAUUGGUUGAAGCUGUUCUACGAGGCUAGACAAGAGAUGACUAUGUACCCGGAAACAGAACUUCUUCCAGAAAUGAAGGCAUUUUUUGAAGCUUGUGGGGGAAUAGCUAGGCAACUUAAGAAAUGGCGGGUUGAGGCUACCAAAGAAUUUUAGGAAUAAUGAGUAGGAAAAUAAACAAUAAACGAAUUGUAAUCCUUUGCUUGAAGUACUAAUAAGAUAUCUUGUUUUCGCAACUCUUUAUAUCUAUGUGUGCAAAUGUAAAAUUGACUCCCAUUUACAAAUAAAUGUUAUCUCCAAAAAUGUUUAAAACGUCUUCUAUUUAGAUACAACCUUGGUUUAAAACUAUAUGUUUUCUCUAAUGGUUGUCAUCAAGUAACUGCAUGCGACUUUGUUGGGCACGCCCUCAAAUCACCAUAUGUAGGGCAAGACGUUUAAUGCUAACAACCUCUAACAAGAGAACGAACAAAGAUGCAAUCGAGGUUAGAAACUUGAAGUUUCAUUCUAAAAUUGACUUCAACACAAAAAUGAGACAAUAGGGGCACGCCUCAGGGUCGACAGAAUGCGGGUCGAAAUGUCUUGCUAUACCGAUCCUCUAUACGAAAAGGAAUUUAAAUUUUUUUUUGCAUGCAUCAUUUUUUUGUUCAUUUAAAUAAAAUGAAAAUUUUCUCACCUAGGUAUCAUAUAAAAAUUGCUCCUAAGCAUCCUUACCACAUCAGACUGCAAUCCAAGCUGAUGACAGACCAAGAAUCCAGUAGCAUUGACAACCGGUCUGAGCUUGCCGAAAUGAAAGCGCAAAUAAGUCAGAUGAUGAAAAUCAUCCAGGAUAUGCAAAAGGCUCGAAGCUCAAAAGGAGAUGCCACUGCAUCAGGCGCCAAACCUUCACAAUCCACACAAAAGGUGGGUCCCAAGACAGUUACUGGGGCCAACCGUCGUAAGGGUGUUAUCAUAAGGUAUGAAGACACAACUGAUGGUCAAGAGGAACAACAAUCAGAUGAGGAAGACGACGAUGAGCAAGACGAAGAUCCUACUCAUGAUCUUCCUCCUAAAAACAAGACCACAAGACACCAAGUUGAAGCUAAGAUAAACGGGGGUACCCCAAACGAAUCCUCAAGCCAAGAGAAGGCAGAGCAGGAACUUAUAAAAGA
RNAcentral lists this long non-coding RNA (47788 nucleotides) under Lupinus angustifolius (narrow-leaved blue lupine). RNAcentral's name for it is "long non-coding RNA (LANG_LNC000599)". The stretch from base 1 to 209 matches the Rfam family "Plant small nucleolar RNA U3". Lineage: Eukaryota; Viridiplantae; Streptophyta; Magnoliopsida; Fabales; Fabaceae. The record is from RNAcentral.